UUGGCCCAUUCAGUGACGGUCCAAGAGUUGGCCAAGGAUGAGAACAACAAAGCGGCACUUGGUGUUUGCCAAGAGGUGUUGGACUUAGCCAUUGAUGACUUUCAAAAGUCUUUCGACGUGUUAGGGGAAUACGACAUGAGCAAGAUCGGAAAAUACCUUUUGGAACUGAAGACCUGGCUAAGCGGUGCAUUCACGAGUCAACAGACAUGUAUAGACUCAUUCGCGCAAUCAAGUAACGAAUCAUCGCAGAAGAUGCAAUCAAUCUUGAAGACUAGCAUGGAGAUCACUAGCAAUGCUUUGGCGAUGCUUAAUGGGUUAUCCACCAUCGUAAAGGAACUUAACAUUCCAAACGUCGGCAACAUCGACAGCACGGGGUUCAAUCGUAAGCUUUUGUCGGCUGAGGAUAUGCCUGAGUGGAUUAGUCAAGCUGACCGAAAACUCCUUCAAGCAAAACCAAUGGAUUUGAAGCCUAACGUUGUGGUUGCUAAAGAUGGUAGUGGGAAAUAUGAUACUAUUAACAAGGCAUUGGCUGAAGUCCCCGUGAAAAGUCCCGAUCGAUUUGUUAUUCACAUUAAGGCUGGUACUUACAAGGAAAAAAUCAACGUGACCAAGCAGAUGAUUAAUGUUGUAUUCAUCGGUGAUGGCCCAACCAAAACCAUCAUCACAAAUGACAUUAGCGUUGCUAAAAAUCCACCGGUUAGAACAUACCGCACUGCAACUGUUGGUAAGUAGUAUUAUAGACAUAUAUAAGUUUUGGUGGUGUGGUGAGGUGAGGUGGCUAACUAAUAUAUAUGUAUGUAUGUUUGUGAAAUAUUUUAGGUGUGGAUGGGGCUGGUUUCAUGGCCAAGGACAUUGGAUUCGAUAACUCAGCAGGACCCGAAGGUCAUCAAGCAGUGGCUUUUAGGGCAACUGCUGAUAGGGUCAUCAUGUUCAACUGCCAUUUCACUGGGUACCAAGACACUCUUUAUGCUCAUAGAGAGAGACAGUUAUAUACCAACUGUCUCAUUACUGGAACGGUGGAUUUCAUCUUCGGGGAUGCGGCGAGCAUUUUCCAGAACUGUAUGCUCAUCGUGAGGAAGCCAGGGCCUGGCCAAAAUUGCAUGGUUAUUGCACAGGGCAGGAAUGAUCUUGGAACAAACUCAGCCAUUGUGCUUCAAAACUGCACCAUCUCGGGCGCCCCUGAUUACAUCCCAGUGAAGGAUACAAACAAGGCAUACUUGGGGCGUCCCUGGAAACAAUUCGCUAGGUCUAUCAUAAUGCAAUCUCAAAUCGACGACAUCAUUCAACCAGAGGGUUAUGCCCCAAUGACAGGUACCAUAGGAAUAGACACUUCUUUCAUUGCCGAGUUUGGAAAUAGGGGACCCGGUGCUGAUACCAGCCGUAGGGUAGCAUGGAAAGGUAUAAAAAAGAUAGAUAUAAAUGAAGCCAACAAAUGGACUCCUCGCAUCUAUCUUGAAUCUGAGACUUGGAUUCCGAGUUCCGGCGUUCCCUAUAGUCCCAACAUGGUCCCUGGAGUUUAAACAGCUUAUUAUUGAUACCAACGCCAUUAGUAUGCUUAUUAUCAUAUCAUUGUUCUAAUUAUGUCGUUUUUAACUAAUUAAUUAAACAGUUUUUUUAAUCUUUUAUCUAUCUAUGUAUAUAUGUUGAAUUCUUUGGUUUCCCAAUUGUUGUUUCCACUCACUUGAUGUUUGCAAAACCCAAAAAUUAAGUCAACAUUUAAAUAUUAUUGAACUUAAUUUAAUAUAAUUUUUUAAAGAUUAUUUGGAUUGAUAAUGUUGUUUCCCUAAUGUAGACACCUUCCUUUAAAUAGAUUUAAUAAAAUGAUUAUUAUCAAACUUAAUUACAAGAUUUAAUAAAAAUAGUUUAUUAAGCAACAAUUACUAAUAUAAUAUUAAAAAUUAAUAAAAACAAUUAUAUUAUAAAAAAUCAAUCUUAUUUUUUUUAUAUAUAUUUUAUAUAUGGACUUAAGUAAGCAUCCCGCUCAUGGAAUCAAAGAUUUGAUCAAGUGGUAAAGAUUUUUUAACUUGAGCAAAACAAAGAAGAACAUUGUGUUUAUAAAUAUUUAGAGGAUGAAAAGGUGGUCUUUCUCUUUCUAUAUGUCAAGUGAAAUUCCACUAGUUGAGAAUAAUGUAGGGAUAUUGUAACACCCCAUAUCCGUAACCCAAGCCGGGACGGAGUACAAGGCAUUACCUACUUGAUCUCGUACAUUCAAUCCAUUUUAAGUCACCAAGACUCGGUCCAAUUUAAAACAUUUUCAAUUUCUACUUUAAACCUCUUAAUAUAGGCCUAUGAGGCCUAGAUCGACCAUUGGAAACCGUUCGAAAUUUUUCCAGGUCCUUAUCCAAUCUAUGUAAACUUUGCAUUUAAAACAGGGCACACGCCCGUGUGGGAAGGUAACACGCCCGUGUAAUCAUCCUAACAUGGCCGUGUUGAUGACCCGUGUGUUUUACACGGCCUAAACAUCUAGGGACAUGCCCGUGUCCCUUACCCUUGUGGCCAAUUAUUUACACCAUUUUACAAAAUUCAAGUGUAGACUUCACACGGCCUAGACACACACCCGUGUCCCUGGCCCGUGUUGCUCACACGGCCUUGACACACCCGUGCCUUAGCCCAUGUGAGAAAGCUUGAGUAUUCUAUUUCUGACGUCAGCAUACCCACCAUGUCACACGGCCAUAGCACACGCCCGUGUGCUAGGCCAUGUUCUCCAUACGGCUGAGUCACACAGCCGUGUCUCUGCCCGUUUGUUUAUUACCAUGCAUACUGACUUGAAAUUUUUACGUGCAGGGGACACACAGCCUCAUCACACACCUAUGGGGCUAACCGUGUGUCACACACGGCUUAGACACACGCCCGUGUGCCUACCAGUGUGGACAAAAUAAGGCUAUUUACCAAGCCUAUUUGCCACCCCUACCGAUAUAAAUUAACACAAACUCAACCAACACCAAUUCUAGCCUAUACCAUACAACCACUUCAACUACUAUAGACAUUCUUUCAUAAGGCAAUUUACUCAAACCAGGAAAUAUCAUCUUUGCAUAUGAUCAAAAUGAGUGAUAGUCAACAUCAAGGCUAAAUACAAAGUGUGGGGCUUAUCCCAAGCCUACACCUCUAACCAAUGCUUAAGGGCACAAAAUAAUCAAAUCUAAGCCUUAUACAUGCCAUAUUCAAAAAUAUAAAUCCAAUUAUACCGAAGGUUUUGGACGAUAGUGUGAUCGAUAUCUCUGACUCCAAGUGAUCCUUGAGCUAAUUAGGCGACACUAUAAGAAAAUGGAAAGAAAAAGAGGGUAAGCAUAAAAGCUUAGUAAGUUGCAUAUAAAUAAACAUACAACAACAAUUCAUCAAUAGUUGUCAUGCUCAUAACACAAGGAUAAGCAUAAGUAUGACUUACUCAUUACCACCCAUACAAGUCAUGUGCUCUCCAAUGAGCUCAUUUCUCAUAUGUACCAAUUUGGUACUUGUAUCACUUACAACAUGGUUAUGCUUCCAUCAUUAACUAGCAAGCAUACUUGCACCAUUGAACCAAUGGGUACACUACUGGUCAUUCUAUAAACCUUGAUCUAGGGAUAAAGUGCCGAUGCUAUGUCCCAGACAUAGUCUUACACUGGCUCAAAUCUCAAGUCGAUGCCAUGUCCCAGACAUGGUCUUACACUGACUAUCAUUAUCGAGGCCGAUGCGUGUCCUCGACACGUCUUACUCUAGCCCUCGUAUCAAUGUCGAUGCCAUGUCCCGGACAUGAUCUUACACUGGCUCUCAUAAUGUGGCCGAUACAUUUUCCAGACAUGUCUUACACUAGCUCACAUAAGGGACCCGGAUGUCUCAGUUUGAACAUCCGGUUCAUUUCCUAGUAUUUUAAAGGAAUCUCUGCCAUCUCAUUGUUCUUAUGCAUUCUCAAUACUUAAUUAAGCAAUUCAUGCUAUAUCCAUUCCAUAACAAUUAGACACCUAUUUUAUUGAUAUAGUUGCAUUAUUUACAUACAACUUACCUCAGUUUACAAAAUGUACUCGACUAGUUGGUUUAGUCGAUUUGCUUGGCUUUCCCCUGGUCUAGAUUCGGUUUUUGAAAAACUUGAUCUAGAAUAAAAAAUGCGGUCGUUUAGUCACUAAUUAUAAUUAGGCUACUGUAAAUUCACAUAUUUGAUAAAAUGACCAUUUUGCCCUUAGACUUUGGCAAAAUGACCAUUUUACCCCUAUGAUCGAAAAUUAAUUUUUAUCAAAUUUAUUCGUAUUUCAAGCCUAGCCGAACUCUUUCUACUCUUGUAGAAACCCCAAAAUCCCACUAUUUCACACACUUAUCACCUAUUUUGCAACUUAUGCAAAAUAGCCCAUUUAGGUGUUUUCAUGCUAACACCUUUCACAAAAGUUGUUAAGAAAUCUUCUAAGACUCAUAUUCUUCCAUAAAAACUCAGAAAACAUCACAAGUCCAUCCAUGAAAAAACCCUAAACUCUUAAUCAUUUUUCAAAAUAGUCCCCUCAUAUGAAAGCUCAUGCUUUAGGGGUUCCAAAAAUAUAAAAAUCAUCAACUAAGGACAUGGAAAUCACUUACUUGUUGAGGUGAUAAGUUGCUGAAAUUUCAAAGCUUCAAAACCCCUCUUUUUUUGAUAUUUUCGGUGGAGAGAAGGUGUGGAGAAGAAAGAAAAUAAUAGCUAAGCUCAUAGGUAUUAUUUUAUCACAAAAUUAUGUCAUCAAGCCACCUAAUAUUGACCUUUUUUACUAAACUUGUCUCCUAUGGUCGGCCACCUUUUUUCUAGGGUCUAAUUUCUCUUUAAAGGCCCUCAAUUUUAGUUCUCUAGCUAUUUAACACAUUUGGGGUACUAAAAUGCAACUUUUUCCCUUUUUGCGAUUUAGUCCCUUUUAGCAAUCGGGCUCGCAAAUAUCAAAAUUAACUCACCAAAUUUUUCAUACACUAAUAUAAUCAUGUUAUAACCUUAUAAUAAAAAUAAAAAUAAUUUUCCAAACUUCAAAUUUAUGGUCCCGAGACCACUGUUUCGAUUAGGCUCUAAAUCGGGCUGUUACAGAUAUUGUCAUCGUUUAAACUAUAGUUAACCCAACAGUUUAGGAUGAAGGACUUGGAAGAAGCUAAUUUUGUUCUCAGUAUUCAAAUUCUAAGGGAUUGAAAGAACAAAGUGAUGGCACUAUCGCAAGAUUCACACAUAGGCAAUAUAUUGUAGCGCUAUGUUAUAACUGAUUCGAAGAAAGGUAAUCAAUCUUCUAAUAUCGAGAAUUCACCUCUUUUUGAGGGAUUGUCCUAAGAUAUCAGAAGAAAAUGAGAACAUAAGAAGGGUUCAUUAUGCUUCAACAAUAGGAAGUCUCAUGUAUGCUAUGUUGUGCAUGCAAUCGGAUAUCUAUUUUACAGUAGGUUUGGCGAGUCGAUAUCAGGUGAAUCCAAGACUAAGACACUGACAAAUAGUUAAUACAGUUAAUAAUGAUCAAUUAAUAGAAAAUAUUAGGUUUUGCUGCUGGACUCGUCCGUCAGCUUAGUCAAGAUGCAUUGAUAGGCUACUUGUAGUUCAUUUCUAUUUGUAUUAGUCAAACACCCAUCAUGCCAUUCUAUCUAUCUAGGAUUGUUUCUUUCUCUAAAUUUACCUUUUCAGCCUACUUUAAUGACUGACAACUCUUUUCAUAGGUCACAAUGAUUGAUGAUUUGCAAUGCCACAUGAUUACACAACCACAGUAGCCUGCACUUAGCAUUUUUUGCCUCGUAAGAAAGGUGAAAAGUAUGGUUUAAACUUGUCACUUAUCAUGUCUCUACUUGUGUCGUUGCUCCAAACUGGCUUUUCAGAUAUACUCGAGGUAAUGGUUGGCACAGGUGUUGCUAAAUGAAUUAGCAAGGGAAUUUGUACUAAACUUCCUAAAUACCAGAUCUGAAAAAUUUUAAGUUCUUCAAUUCUUGGUUUACUGCAUUGCUUCAUUCGUUGACGACAUGUCUCUUGCAAUGUUAGUGCACUCUGCGAUGCUUGCCGUUCAACAUCUAUACUUGUUAACUGCCCAACUUGAUUGAGUCAUUCUAUAUAAGCAUAAGUUCUAUCUAUCUAUCUAUCUAUAUAUAUACAUAUUUCCAAUUUUGUUUAACAUCCAGAAAAUUCCUUGACCUUCAAAUCCCCAAGGUUCAUGGUUAAAGUCUAAAGGCAUGCAAAGCCUAAUCAAUUCAAGUUUAUCAAUUGGGUCUAUUAUUUUUUUCCAUUUUUGCCUUAAAAAUUCUUGUAUCAAUAGACACUCUUCUACUAGCUCGACCUUAAUUACCAAUGUUUCUAUUGGUUGAUUUGCAUUAUGCUGCUACUGUAUUUCAAAUUUAUUGGUACAAUCCAAUGGUUCUAAGACAAUGAGUUCCAUGAUGGUCUAAUUCUUUAGCUUGCUAGCCAUUUUCCCCACUAGCUCUAUGUCUUCCCCUUCUGUAGUGGUGUUCAACUCAUUUAGAUACUUUUUUGUCUGCUGAUAUGAGUAAUAGUCUAGGAGUUCUCCUUCUUCACAAGCGUCUAUAAUGUCAUUCUCUUCUUUUCUCAACUUCGGACUUAGCACAUCAUGGUACCUUUCUGAUGGUAUAUCAAUAUGGUUGUUAUUAUCUUGGGAAAGAUCUAGGGUUUCUCUUCGAAGUUGACUUAAUUCGAGUAAGAGUAAUCAUUGAAUCUCUUGGAUCUCCUAAUCUUCAUACACUCCUUCUUCGUAAGUAUUUUGAUCAUAAUCAAAGUCUUCGUCGAACCACGUAUAAUAAAAAUAAUCCAUGGCUUUGUGCUGACUGGUUGUUUUGUGCCUAGGAUUCCUAAGAAUAAACAAAUGUAAUUAACAAAAUAAUUUGAAAGUUGUAACUAUAAACCACAAAUUUCCUAAUUAUUCUUUUAAAAUGAAAAAAAUUAAAAUCAAUCUAGUGACAUUGCCUCCCCGGCAACGGCGCCAACAACUUGACCGCCUUUAGACGUACUAACGCCCAGAGUGUGAAUACUGCAAUAAAAUAGAUAAUUACGAUAUAGUAUCAACAACUAUAUGGGUCGAGUUGUAAUAUAGUUUUUACAAUGAAGUAGGUGAGUACUCCGAUGAUCGUACCCAAGAAAAGCAAGUGUUAGAUUAAUUCUAACCUAAAUACCAAAAGAUCUAAUUAGCACUUUAAAUAAAUUAUAAUAUGAAAGUAUAUAAAAAAGGGUUUUUUAAGGUUUUUAAUAAUAAUAAAAUCAAAUAACAUAAAAGAAAUAAAACUUGUUAGAAUUAAGUGACCCAAAUUCUUAUUUAAAUAAAAUACGAUGGAAAAUAAAAUAAAAGUAAAAUCCAUAUAGAACUAGACUUCUUUUAUUUUAUUUUAGAAUAAGGUUUUUUAAACCUUAUUAAACUUCAUCUAUUUUAUAUUAAUUAGUGUAACAACCCUCGCUCGCAUCCGACGCCGGGACGGGGUUCGAGGUGCUACCUGACUUUUACUAACACUUCCAUACUAAACAGGGCCAUGAAAUCUCAAAUAAUUAAAAACUUUUAUUUUCACAUACAAUCUGUCCCAUAUACGGGCUUACGAGGCCCAAAACAUACAUCCGGAGUGGUUCGGGACCCAACCGAGAACUCAUGAAAAACUUAAAAAAUCUCUUGCAUCAAGGCUUCAUACGCCCGUGUGGGUAUAGAGCACACGCCCGUGUGCUAGGGACACACCCGUGUCCAAAAACCUGGACAAAUACAAGGCUAUUUUCCAAGCCAUUUUGUCACACUCACAAUAGAUACACGCAUGCUUAUACAAUAACAUACAACAUGGCAAAAUUAGGUACUUAAACAUUCCUAACAUGUCAUGAUUAUGGCAAUUUCACAUGCAAUAGAUAUCAUAGAUUUUACUCACAUCUUUACCACAUUCAUACUAUAAUCAUUAUAAACUCAUCACAUAAUACCAUAGCACAUGCAUGCAUAAUUAAAAUAGAUUUACAACCCCAUAAUCAAAAUAGGCCAACACAUAUGAUUAAAGCCAAUCACAUACUCUAAUAUUUAAACUCCUAUACAUGCCGGAGGCUCAAAGUACUUGAAAUCACUACACCAAUAGCGUUAGCUUGACAGUGUGAUAAUAUCUCUGACGGCCUCCAGCUCGAGCUAACUUGGAAACUCUAGAAAACAUGGAAAAGAAGAGGGGGGUAAGCUUUCGCUUAGUAAGUUCAUAUGAAAAUAAUAAGCACUCAUUAACUUGUUUUAUCAAUGUUUACAACAUAUUCUCAAGUUCACUACAAGCUGUCUUUCUGACCAAUGGUCACUAAAUUAUUUAUAUAUGGAGAUACGAAACUCCGAAUUAAGUUCCGUUAAUUUUCCCUGAAACUAGACUUAUUUUAAUUUCUUCCAUAAAAUUUUCAGAAUUUUUGGUUAAGCCAAAUAGUACAGUUUAUUUCUCAAAGUUACCCCUAAUUCACUGUCUGACAGUUCCGACCCUUUUGUACUAAGGUUCAAUUAUCUCAUAGUACAAGACUUGAAUAAUAUUCUCGUCUAUUUCUAUUGAAACUAGACUCAUAUGUAUACUUACUAAUUUUUUUCUAGAAUUUUUGGUCAAGCCAUUUAGUACAGUUUAUUAGUUAAAGUUUCCCCUAUUUCAGGGUAUGACUACUCUGACCCUUGUGCACUACAAACCGAAUUUGUUUUCCUUAAAAAUAUACUCAAUAAGGAAUCCAUGCAUGUAAGUUAUGACUCUUAAUAAUUUUUUUAAAAUUUAUGGUGAAUUUCUAAAGUCAGAACAUGGGAUCUUGAAUUCAUUCAGACCCUGUUUCACAAGAAUUCAAAUAUCACACAAUAUGGAAUUCUUUUUGUUCCCCUAUUUAUUUCAUGUGAAAAUAGACUCAUUAAGCUUUAAUCCCAUAUUUUAUUAUGCCUCUAACUCAUUUUACACUAUUUUUAGUGUAUUUUCAAAGUUACACUACUGCAGUAACUCAAAUCUGUCAAGGCUAAAUUACUCAUUCAUGAUCAUUGUUCACAAAAUUAAUACAACAUCGUUUGUAUAAUAUCACCGAGACAUUCAUAUCACAUUUUCAUUUACCAUCUUACCAUAUUGUUGUUAUGUUGAGUUUUCAACCCAAGGGUUAAGUACAUACCUGUUCAAAGUAUCCAUUUCACAACAUUUAUCAAUACAUCCCUUUCAUCUCGAGUAUUCCUCCAUUUGAGUAGAAUUUUACGUGUUGAACACAUCGGAAUAUAAUUCGGAUACAUGGAAAGUUUGCACAUAAGUGCCACAUAUGUAGCCAAGCUACCAUGUAACCCGCCCAUAAGUGAACUCGGACUCAACUCAACGAGCUCGGGCGUUCGCAUCCAUAAGUGAACUCGGACUCAACUCAACGAGCUCGGAUGCCUAGUUACAUCUCACGAACUCGGACUCAACUCAACGAGUUCGAACGUUCGCAUCCAUAAGUGAACUCGAACUCAACUCAACGAGUUCGGAUGCUCAACCAUCCUAGUGACAUGUCAUUUGUAUCCUAAUCUAUUCCUAAGGUUCAAACGGGAUUUUCCUCGAACACAUAUCCUUGCCAUCUUCCGUAAAAUAACAGAUAAUACACAUAACUUGCAUUUUAUUCGAAAAUAACCACAAAGCAUAUAUUUCAUGAUAAAAAUCAGCAUAUCAUAUAUUUAACAUCAAUAACUUAAAAAUAACAAUUAUGCUACAUUAUUUACACAUGAACUUACCUCGAUACCACAAAGGUGAAAAAAAAAACGUAAUUAUCCCUUAAUCGAUUUCUUUCCGUUCUAGGUCCAAAUCUCGAUUUUCAUCAUCUAAAAUAUCACAUUCAACUUAUUAAAACAAUGUACUGAUCAAAUUAGUCCACUGACACACUUGGGCAAUUUUUACAAUUUUGCCCCUAUAUUUUGCCAAAACUACCAGAUUACCCCUAGGCUCGUAAAAUAAUUUUUAUCACAUUUCUUUACUCUUGAGUCUAGAUGAACCAUUUUCAUAACUGUAGCAACUCAUAAUUUCAACUAUUUCACACAUUUACAACUCAUUUUACAACUUAGCAAUCUAGCCCUUUUUAAGGUGUUUUCAUGCAAUUUCUUUCAAAAAAGUUGUUUAUUAGACAACUAGGACUCAUAAUCUUCCAUAAAAAAUACAGAAAACAACACAUUUACUCUCAUGGAAAAACCCUAGACUCUUCAUCAUUUUGCAAAAUAGACCACUCAUAUGAAAGCUCAUGCUUUAGGGGUUCCAAAAAUGUAAAAAUCAUCAAGCAAAGACAUUAAAAUCACUUACAAGCAAGGGAAAUAUGUUUCUGAAAUUUUCCAGCUUCAAAGCCCUUUCUUUGCUGCAUAUUUCGGUGAAGGAGAAGAGAAAAAUGAUAGCUUUUUCUUUUUGAUUUGUUAAUAAUAAAACUAGUCAAAAUUGGUGACCAAAUUUCACCUAAUUUUGACUUUUCAACAAUUUUGUCUCCCAUGGCCGUCCAUCACACUUUCAAUGGCCUAAUUUCACUUUAAAUACCCCCAAUCUAAGAUACAAGGCAAUUUAACACCUUUAGGUAUUAAAACACAACUUUUACCUUUUACGCGAUUUAGUCCUUUUUCGAAAUUGGACUAGAAAUUGCUAAAAUUAACUUACCAAAAUUUACAUGCACUUAUAAAAUUAUAUUAUAGAACAUAAAAUAAUACUAAAAAAAUUUUCUCUAGCCUCGAAAUAGUGGUCCCGAAACCACUGUUUCGACUAGGCCCAAAAUCGGGCUGUUCCUAAUUUUGACUUUUCAACAAUUUUGUCUCCCAUGGCCGGCCAUCACACUUUCAAUGGCCUAAUUUCACUUUAAAUACCCCAAAUUUAAGAUGCAAGGCAAUUUAACACCUUUAGGUAUUAAAACACAACUUUUACCUUUUACGCGAUUUAGUCCUUUUUCAAAAUUGGACUAGAAAUUGCUAAAAUUAACUUACCAAAAUUUACAUGCACUUAUAAAAUUAUAUUAUAACACAUAAAAUAAUACUAAAAAAAUUUUCUCUAGCAUCAAAAUAGUGGUCCCGAAACCACUAUUUCUACUAGGCCCAAAAUCGGGCUGUUACAGAUUAGGAUAAGGUGUUUCAAUCCUACUAGAAUAUGGCUUUACAAGCCUAUAAAUAGACAUAGUCUAUUCCUCUUGUAUUGAUUCAAUUUUUUGACAUAGUAAAUUUUCUUCUCCUCUGCCCGUGGUUUUUUCCCGAAAGGGUUUCCACGUAAAAUUUGUGUGUUCUUUAUUUUUAUUUUAUUUUAUUUUAUUUUCAAAUUGGUAUCAGAGCUUCCGGGUAAUUCAUCUCGAUCACGGUAAUGGCAUCUUUGAAGUAUGAAAUUCCGCUGUUGGAUCGCAACACUAGAUUUGCGUUGUGGCAAAUUAAGAUGCAAGCAGUUAUUGCACAAAUGGAUCUGGAGGAUGCCCUGCUAGGGAUAGAUAAGAUGCAUCUGCAUUUGUCCAACAAAAUUUUGCAGGAUGUGAUGAAAGAGAAGACUGCCGCUGCAUUAUGGAAGAGGUUAGAACAAAUAUGUAUGUCAAAAACUCUAACAAGCAAGUUGCAUAUGAAGCACGUCUUUAUGCUCAUCGUUUGGAGGAAGGUGCAUCUGUACACGAACACUUAACAGUGUUUAAAGAAAUUCUCUCAAACUUGGAGGCCAUGGUGGUUCAGUAUGAUAAGGAAGAUCUAGGGUUGAUUCUACUUUGUUCGUUGCCCUCGUCUUAUUCAACCUUUAGAGACAUGAUUUUAUAUAGCCGCGAAUCUCUCACAGUUGAUGAGGUUUAUGAUUCUUUAACCUUGUAUGAUAAGAUGAAGUAUCUUGUGGUUAAACCCGACUCUUAGGGAGAGGGUCUCAUUGUUCGUGGGAGACAAGAUCGGAAUGCUGAUGAUGAUCGUGGUAGGAUACAGGAACGAAAUCCUCGUGGUAAAUCUAAAGGUAGAUCGAAGUCUUCAAAUAGAGGUAAAACUUGUAACUUCUGCAAGAAGAAAGGACACAUUAAAUCUGAGUGCUAUAACCUACAAAAUAAGAUUAAAAGGGAGGCUGUGAAUCAAAAGGAAAAAUAACCAGAAAAUUCCGAUGAAGCUGAUGUUGUAGAAGAUUACAGCGAUGAUGAACUUCUAGUUGCUUCUAUCAAUGAUUCUAAAGUAAGCGAGAAAUGGAUACUUGAUUCAGGCUGCACCUUCCACAUGAGUCCCAAUCGAGAUUGGUUUACAACUUACAAAACAAUAUCUGAAUGUGUUGUUUUGAUGGGAAAUAAUGCUUCGUGUAAAAUCGCAGGUGUUGGAAUAGUUAAAGUUAAGAUGUUUGAUGGAGUUGUCAGAACAGUUAUGAGGUACGACAUGUUCCAGAAUUAAAGAGAAAUUAAAUUUCGUUGAGUACUCUUGAUUCAAAAGGGUACAAAUAUACAGCUGAAAGUGGGAUUUUAAAGAUUUCCAAAGGUUCCCUUGUUGUGAUGAAAGGGCAAAGAAAAACUUCCAAGUUAUAUCUUUUGUAGGGUUCUACUAUUACUGGUGAUGCAGCUGUCGCUUCCUCUUCCUUGUCAGAUGAUGAUAUUACUAAAUUUUGGCAUAUGCGCCUAGGGCAUAUGAGUGAGAAUGACAUAGUAGAAUUGAGUAAAAGAAGACUUCUUGAUGGGCAAGGAAUUUGCAAACUAAAUUUCAGUGAGCACUGUGUUUUUGGGAAGUAAAAGAGAGUUCGAUUCACUAGAGGAAUCCAUAACACGAAGGGAAUAUUGGAGUAUAUUCAUUCUGAUCUGUGGGGGCCAUCCAGAGUGCCUUCGAGAGGUGGAGCUAAUUAUAUGCUAACCUUUAUUGAUGAUUUUUCCAGAAAAGUUUGGGCGUUCUUCCUGAAGCAGAAAAUCGAUGUGUUUUCCGCAUUUAAGUCUUGGAAAAUUAUGAUUGAAAAUAGACGGGAAAACAGAUAAAAUACCUCCGCACAGACAAUGGCUUAGAGUUCUGUUCUGAUGAGUUUAAUAGAUUGUGCAAGUCAGAAGAGAUCAUGAGACACUUGACAGUUCGUCAUACUCCACAGCAAAACGGCAUUGCAGAACGAAUGAACGGAACGAUCAUGGAGAAGGUUCGAUGUAUGUUGUCAAAUGCCAACUUAUCGAAGUCAUUUUGGGCAGAAGUAGCCUCUACUGCAUGUUUUUUAAUUAACCGAUCUCCAUCCGUUGCCAUUGAGAAAAAGACUCCACAAGAGGUAUGGUCUGAUAACCCUGCUAAUUAUUCUAAUUUAAAGAUUUUUGGGUGUCCUGCGUAUGCUCAUAUUGAUAAUGGAAAAUUAGAACCGAGAUCCAUUAAAUGCGUUUUUCUUGGUUAUAAAGCUGGUGUAAAAGGGUAUAAGUUAUGGUGUCCUGAAAAUAGAAAAGUUGUGAUUAGCAGAGAUGUUGUUUUUGAUGAAACUGCUAUGCUACCUAAGUUAUCUCUUAAAGAAUCUUCCAAUAAAGAAAAUCAAAAACAGGUGGAGCAUCAGAUUAAUACAGAGUCAACUCCUCAAGCCAGAACAAAAGUUGAGAAUAUAGUUGCUUCUUCACCACAAUACUCUAUCACCAAAAGCAGAACUAGAAGAGAAAUUAAACCUCCAAAGAAGUAUGCCGAGGCUGAUCUAGUUGCUUAUGCUUUAAAUAUUGCUGAAGAUAUAGAUACGAAUCAAGAGCCAUCUAAUUAUUCUGAGGCGGUUAGCUGUGAAGACUCAAAAAAGUGGAUGUUUGCUAUGCAAGAAGAGAUGGAAUCACUCUACAAAAACAGAACAUGGGACCUUGUGAAACUUCCUAAAGGUAAAAAAGUUGUUCGUUGUAAAUAGGUGUUUAAAAGGAAAGAAGAGACUCUAGGAGUUGAAGAACCCAGAUAUAAAGCAAGACUUGUUGCAAAGGGUUACAGUCAAAUUUCAGGAGUGGACUUCACAGAUGUGUUCUCUCCAGUUGUUAAGCAUAGUUCGAUUCGAUCUUUGCUUGGUAUUGUGGCCAUGCAUGAUUUGGAGCUUGAGCAGUUAGAUGUAAAAACUGCAUUUCUGCAUGGAGAACUUGAGGAAGAUAUUUACAUGCAACAACUAGAGGGUUUUAUUGUCUUAGAAAAAGAGGACUAUGUUUGCUUGUUGAAAAAGUCCCUUUACGGUUUGAAACAGUCACCAAGACAGUGGUACAAGAGGUUUGAUUCCUUUAUGACUUCUCAUGAUUUCAAAAGUAGUUUUGACAGUUUUGUUUACUUUAAGAAAAACAGUGAUGGUUCUUUUGUGUAUCUACUUCUUUAUGUUGAUGACAUGUUGAUAGCAGUAAAAGAUAAAGGAGAGAUAAGAAAUGUCAAAACACAACUAAGUAAAGAAUUUGAGAUGAAAGCUUUAGGACCAGCAAAGAAUAUACUUGGAAAGGAGAUUCUCAGAGAUAGAAAAACAAGUAAAUUGUACCUAAGUCAGAAGAGGUACAUUGAGAAAGUUCUUUGCAGGUUCAAUAUGCAGAGUGCUAAGCCUGUUAGUAAUCCUUUAGCAGCCCAUUUCAGACUUUCAUCAGUUUUGUCUCCACAAUCAGAUGAUGAGAUUGAGUACAUGUCACAUGUUCCAUACUCUAGUGCAGUGGGAUCUCUCAUGUAUGCUAUGGUUUGUUCACGUCCAGAUUUAUCAUAUGCAGUCAGUGCAGUUAGCAGAUACAUGGUGAAUCCUAGUAAAGAACAUUAGAAAGCAGUUUAGUGGAUUCUAAGAUACUUACGAUGUACUACUGAUGUUUGCUUACAGUUUGGAAGAACUAAAGAUGGAGUCAUAGGGUAUGUUGAUGCUGAUUUUGCUGGAGACCUUGAUAAAAGAAGAUCUCUCAUAGGUUAUGUCUUUACAAUCGGAGGUUGUGCAAUCAGUUGGAAAGCUACUUUGUAGUCUACAGUCGCUUUGUCUACCACUGAAGCUGAGUACAUGGAGAUUACUGAGGCUUGUAAAGAAGCUAUUUGGUUGAAGGGACUCUUUAGUGAACUCAAUGAAGACCUUCAAAUCAGCACAAUAUUUUGUGACAGUCAGAGUGCCAUCUUUCUUACAAAAGAUCAAAUGUUUCAUGAGAGAACAAAACACAUUGAUGUUCGGUAUCAUUUUGUUCGUGAUAUUAUUGCUCGUGGUGAUAUUGUUGUGAGCAAAAUUAGUACUCAUGAAAAUCCUGCAGAUAUGAUGACUAAGUCACUUCCUAUAACCAAGUUUAAGCAUUGCUUAGACUUGAUUGGUGUUCAUUGUUGAAGUUAAACCCUUAAGGGGUUUUAUGGAAGAGGUGGAGAACUUGUUUAUUGAAAGUUCGCAAUGAAGAACUUGUUCAUUGAGAAUUUGUGUCAAGGUGGAGAUUGUUAGAAUUAAGUGACCUAAAUUCUUAUUUAAAUAAAAUACGAUGGAAAAUAAAAUGAAAGUAAAAUCCAUAUAGAACUAGACUUCUUUUAUUUUAUUUUAGAAUAAGGUUUUUAAACCUUAUUAAACUUCAUCUAUUUUAUAUUGAUUAGGAUAAGGUGUUUCAAUCCUACUAGAAUAUGGCUUUACAAGCCUAUAACUAGACAUAGUCUAUUCCUCUUGUAUUGAUUCAAUUUUUCGACAUAGUGAAUUUUCUUCUCCUCUGCCCGUGGUUUUUUCCCGAAAGAGUUUCCACGUAAAAUUUGUGUGUUCUUUAUUUUUAUUUUAUUUUAUUUUAUUUUUUUCUCAAAACUCAAUAGAUAGAAGAGUAGAGUAAAUCAAAUAUUGAUUAUGGGUGAUUAGCUCGCUUUAGUAAUCCUCAUCAGCUAUCACUUCGGGUUCCUCGUCAAUCAACUAGUCGCUACCCUAGCAGGAUCUUCUGGUCUUCCACUAACAUAACAAGUCAGCAAGAACUACUUAUCUUUUGACCUCACAGUUUAGGUUGGUUUAGGGUAAAGGUGUUCAUGAAUGGAAAGUACCAAUUUGGAUUAAUUCCCACCUUGAUGACUUUUCGGGGUUGCCAAGCCUAGGGUUUGUUUUAUGUUCUUCCUUUUCCAAAUAGUUAAUCCGUUGAGUAACCCUACAAAAUAGUUAAUAGAUCAUACAUCCACUCGCUAAUCCCCCAUAAAGGGAUUAGUUCCUCAUGGCUUUCAUAGACAAUAUGAAAUCAAUAUAAAGAGAAAACAUACUAAUUAAAACGAUAAGAUAAAGUAAAUGAAAGAGUCUGAUUGUAUUGAUGUCAAUUGUGAAUCCCCAAUGUUUGAAUGCUUCAACAAUUUAGAUCUCUUGAAAUCAACAAAAACAACCGAAAAAAAUCUAAAACCUAAAAACGAAAAAAAUUUACACUGAAUUUUACAAAGAGAAUUUAGGCCAAAGGAUUGAUGUCCAUAACAAGUGACAAAUGAGUCUAUUUAUAGCCUUCAGGUGGCUAUCAUCCUUAACCCUGGGUUAGCUGAUGUUCCCGAGCUUGAAUGUUUAAUUGUAUAGACCAAAAUACCCUUACUUCGUGUUUUGAUUUCAUCACAGAGUCGAUGUCGUGACAUACUAGGAACUGUAUCGCGACCUAGCAACCAAUAUACUCCUCUGUAGCUAUCUUCAGUCUGUGCCUCGACACCUUUAGUCUGUGUCGUAUUGAUGGUAGUCUUGAAAUUUCUUCAUUUUGCUUAUUAUGUUGCAACAUCAAGCAUCGCAUGUUGUAACAUAGCGGCCAAUAUUAGUUUAGUACACCUUCUAAAGGUCUUCUGCACACUCACCAAGUGCGUUAGCUAUCCCUUAGGCCUUAUUCUACCCAUAAGGUUAAUAAAAGACUCAAUUUGCACAUUUUAUUAAAAGUAAAUAAAACUUAACUAAAACGUAACGAAAAUGCUUGUAUUCAAACUCUUCAAAUACGAAAACUAGUUUGAUCUGCUACACCGAAUUAUGAUAGAUCAGUUAUGCAUGCAAAAUAUAAAAGACAUAAAAUGAAAUUAACUUCAUUUAUUUAUUCAUCAUUCAAUCAAUAGAAAACAAUUAUAUGUUCACCACAAUGUGGGCGCAUUUCCCAGCACUCUACUAGUAAGGACGUCAAGACAUUCACGUCGUCGAGAAGAGCUUUCGUUUCUCAUCGGGACAAGACUAACUGUUUGGGCCUAAUAGAAGCAUUCUCCACAUAUUUGAUGAAACAAUUUAAAUUUAAAUUUAUUUUAUUGUGGUUUUUGGGACUAUAAUUUUUUAAUUUUGGGUUAUGGCAUGGGUUCUUUUUAAGUUCGGAUUUUUGCAUGCAUUCAAUUUCAUUAAACUGAACAAGCCAAAUUAAUCUUCUUAUAGAAUAUGGUUUAAAGUAAUAACUGAUGGUUUCACUUUUUUCGCUGCAAAACAAGAGUUUUGAAAGUAAAAUGACAAAACAAAAAUCAACUAAGUUUACCCAAAAAUGUCACAACACAUAUUAAAUUUGGACUCUUAAGUUUAAAUCGAUGUAAAAUCUUAUGUUUUUGCUAAAUAUAUGAUACUACUCUAAGUUUUCUAAAAAUCAUAAAAAUAAAAGUUAUGAAAACUGAAUUGUUCUAUUAGGCAAUUUCGGUGGCCAAUGUAACUUUUAUGAUCCAAUCAUAAUGUCCAGUUUGAGUUAGGGAAGUUACAGUUACGGGUGAAAAUUUCAAGCAAUUGGAAAAAGAUGGAGUUGAACAGGUGCUCACGAGAGAAGAUGGCUAGAGACAACUACUGCUAACGGCGGGGAAUUGGAAAAAAAAAUUAUUGACAAGCAAGUUUUGUCGAAUAUGAGUGAAUAUGUUGAAUUAUGGGUUGGUGAUGGUAGAAAGUCAAAUAUUGAAGGGGACAUGAAUGGGGUGACGUUGUUUAGUACUGAUAACAUGGGUGUAAACGAGACUAUUAAAGUGGGAGUAAAUAACUGAGGCAAGGAAAGUAAGUGUUGGCAAGUCCAAUUUCAAGAUGGAUCGGAUACUAGCGGUGGGCCAUUCAGAUGGGAAGAAGGUUACGUUGAAAUAGCUGAGGUGAUGGGUGGAGAUAAUAUAACUGCAGGCAAGGAAUUGGUUGAAAUUACGAAGAGGCAAUUGAAUAGGAGUAUAUAGCCAAAGGAGACAAUAAAGUUUUCUUAGUUACAAAAUAGGAAGUUAAGUUUAAGCCUCAACCAAAAAAUCAAAUACAUUAUUUAACACUGAUCCUGUAAAAAAAUGUCCUGCACUAUUAAAAGUGGCUGUGUGAAGACGUACAACCCAAUUGCGCAAUCUCUAACCCCUUUAGACAUCACAUCUACCGCCAUGUUCGUCAUCCUUGAAGGAGGCAGCAAACUUAUUUAAUAAUAUGAUUUGAAUUAAAUAUAUGUAAUAUUAUUGUACCGCAUUAAUAUUAUGAUUAUAGUAAUUAUUAUUAUUACAAUUUCAACUUAUGAACAGGUUUGCUUUCACUAUAAAGAAUGCAUAUUAACAGUCAAAAUUUAAACAUAUUAGAUAAAAAUAAAUUUUUAAAUAAUUUUACAUAAUAAUAUUUUAAUUAAAAAAUAAAUUUGAGAAAAGAAGAAUGCCACAAAGAAUGAAUAUAUACAUUAUUAUAUUAUAUUAUUUAUGAUAUAAUAUGAUAUUAUUUCUUACAAAUGUUUCGAACAACAUUAGUUACCAUUUAAUCCACAAAGCUUUAAUUUAUAAGUGUCAAAGAAAAAUAGUAAAAUACGAAAGUUAAUAUUUUGUGGAAUGUGAAAAGAUUUAAAAAAGUGAUAUUUAAUUUACAAUUUAGCAUUUAAAUUAAAUUUAUAUAUUAAUUAUUUCAAUACUUACAAUAUCAAUUUAUCUAAAAAAUAUUUUACUCAAACAUUUAUAAAUAAAAAAAGUAUAUAAAUUACAUCCUAGCAUUAGCCUUUUUUUAAACAACUUCAAAGUCAGAGAUUUUAGAAGAACAAGAAAUCGAAGAUUAAAACACCAUAGUUUUAUAGAGCGAUUAAUAUCCAUGAAAUAUAAACAAAUUCUCACAUCCGUAGGGCACUCUCCACCGUGAAACAUUUUAAACUAAAUAUGGCCAUUUUUUUAGUUUUACCUGAUUCCUUUUUCAAUAUAAAUAUGGACCUUCAAUAGCAUAUUAUUCAAGCCUUUGCUCAAAGGGCCAUAAGUGAUAAGCAAUAAACAGCCCCACAACUUCAAAUAAGGUUUUCUUCUUUCUUGCUUUCUUUUCUUCAGGGGAAAGAAAGAGAGAAAAAGAUACUUUUUUUUGUAAAAAAGUUGUUUAAAAAUGGCAAAUAAUGCUAUUAUUGGUAUCUGUACGGUGUUCCUGGUGGCCAUGGUGGUAGCCGUGGUGGUGGGUGUUACGCACAUAAAAAGCAAGAACGAUGGUGAAAAGAUAUCGAGUUCGAACAAAGCUGUGCAAGCCUUAUGUCAACCCACGAAUUAUAAAGAGACAUGCCAGAAAAGCUUGGCGUCGUCAAAUUCUAGCGACGUUAAGGAGCUGAUGAGGACAGGUUUCCAAGCCGGGCUAGUCGAGAUAAAGAACGUAUUGGCCCAUUCAGUGACAGUCCAAGAGUUGAUCAAGGAUGAGAACAACAAAGCGGCACUUGGUGUCUGCCAAUAGGUGUUGGACUUAGCCAUUGAUGACUUUCAAAAGUCUUUCGACAUGCUAGGGGAAUAUGACAUGAGCAAGAUUGGAAAAUACCUUUUGGAACUGAAGACCUGGCUAAGCGGUGCAUUCACGAGUCAACAGACAUGUAUAGACUCAUUUGCGCAAUCAAGUAACGAAUCAUCGCAGAAGAUGCAAUCAAUCUUGAAGACUAGCAUGGAGAUUACUAGCAAUGCUUUAGCGAUGCUUAAUGGGUUAUCCACCAUCGUGAAGGAACUUAACAUUCCAAACGUCGGUAACGUCGACAGCACGGGGUUCAAUCGUAAGCUUUUUUCGGCUGAGGAUAUGCUUGAGUGGAUUAGUCAAGCUGACCGGAAACUCCUUCAAGCAAAACCAAUGGAUUUGAAGCCUAACGUUGUGGUUGCUAAAGAUGGUAGCGGGAAAUAUGAUACUAUUAACAAGGCAUUGGCUGAAGUCCCCGUGAAAAGUCCCUAUCGAUUUGUUAUUCACAUUAAGGCUGGUACUUACAAGGAAAAAAUCAACGUGACCAAGCAGAUGACUAAUGUUAUAUUCAUCGGUGAUGGCCCAACCAAGACCGUCAUCACAAAUGACAUUAGUGUCGCUAAGAAUCCACCGGUUAGAACAUACCGCACUGCAACUGUUGGUAAGCAGUAUUAUAGAUAUAUAUAAGUUUUAGUGGUGAGGUGAGGUGGCUAACUAGUAUAUAUGUAUGUAUGUUUGUGAAAUAUUUUAGGUGUGGAUGGGGCUGGUUUCAUGGCCAAGGACAUUGGAUUCGAUAACUCAGCAGGACCCGAAGGUCAUCAAGCAGUGGCUUUUAGGGCCACUGCUGAUAGGGUCAUCAUGUUCAACUGCCAUUUCACUGGGUACCAAGACACUCUUUACGCUCAUAGAGAGAGACAGCUAUAUACCAACUGUCUCAUUACUGGAACGGUGGAUUUCAUCUUUGGGGAUGCGGCGAGCAUUUUCCAGAACUGUAUGCUUAUCGUGAGGAAGCCAGGGCCUGGCCAAAAUUGCAUGGUUACUACACAGGAAAGGAAUGAUCUUGGAACAAACUCAGCCAUUGUGCUUCAAAACUGCACCAUCUCGGGCGCCCCUGAUUACAUCCAAGUGAAAGAUACGAACAAGGCAUACUUGGGGCGUCCCUGGAAACAAUUCGCUAGGUCUAUCAUAAUGCAAUCUCAGAUCGACGACAUCAUUCAACCAGAGGGUUAUGCCCCCAUGACCGGCACCAUAGGAAUAGACACUUCUUUCAUUGCCGAGUUUGGAAACAGGGGACCCGAUGCCGAUACCAGCCGUAGGGUGGCUUGGAAAGGUAUAAAAAAGAUAGAUAUAAAUGAAGCCAACAAAUGGACUCCUCGCGUCUAUCUUGAAUCCGAGACUUGGGUUCCGAGUUCCGGCAUUCCCUAUAGUCCCGACAUGGUCCUUGGAGUCUAAACAGCUUAUUAUCAAUACCAACGCCAUUAGUAUGCUUAUUAUCAUAUCAUUGUUCUAAUUAUGUCAUUUUUACUAAUUAGUAAACAGUUUUUUUAAUCUUUUAUCUAUCUAUGUAUAUAUGUUGAAUUUAUUGGUUUCCGAGUUGUUGUUUCCAUUCACUUAAUAAUGAUGUUUACAAAACCCAAAAAUUAAGUCAACGUUUAAAUAUUAUUGAACUUAAUUUAAUAAAUAUUUUAGAAGGAUUAUUUGGAUUGAUAAUGUUGUUUUCUUGAUGUAGACACCUUACUUUAAAUAGAUUUAAUAAAAUGAUUAUUAUCAAACUUAAUUACAAGAUUUAAUAAAAAAAUAGUUUAUUAAGUAAUAAUUACUAAUAUAAUAUUAAAAAUUAAUAAAAAAAUCAAUCUUAUUUUAUAUAUAUAUAUUUUUAUAUAUGGAUUUUAGCAAGCAUCCCGCUUAUGGAAUCAAGGAUUUGAUCAAGCGGUCAAUAUUUUUGAAUUUGAGCAAAACAUAGAAGAACAUUGUGUUUAUAAACAUUUAGGGGAUGAAAAUGUGGUCUUUCUCGUUCUAUAUGUCAGGUGAAAUUCUACUAGUUGAGAAUAAUGUAGGGAUAUUGUCAUCGUUUAAACUAUGGUUAACCCAAUAGUUUAAGUGAAGGACUUGGGAGAAGUUAAUUUUGUUCUGGGCAUUCGAAUCCUGAUCGAAAGAACAAAGUGAUAGCACUAUCGCAAGAUUCAUACAUAGCCAAGAUGUAAUAACCUGUUUUUCAGUGGUAUCAGAAAUAGUGGUUUUGGGGCCACAAAUCCGACGAGUAAGUUUAUAAAUAUUAUCAUUUAAUAUUUAUGAGUCAAAUACGGUUUUAAAAAGGUUUUUGAUUUGGUAAUUUAUGUUAUAUAAAUGAUAAAUUAAGUUGAAGUUGUAAAACCCUAAAGUCAAGUAGUUUUAGAAAAUGAGGUAUCGGGACAUCGUUUCUAUAUAUCAAGUUGUAAAUAUUUUUAUAAAUAUUUAUGGAGUAUUAUUAAGGUUGUAUUAAAGUUUCGUUAUGAAAUUUUAAUAUUUAAAAGGUUAAUUAGGUGAAAAGGACUAAAUUGAAAAAUGUACAAAAGUUGAAUGAUAUUAGUUAAAUGGAUCUAAUAGAUAUGGAAAGGUAAAUUCUUGGACCUGGAUGGUAAUUGUACCAUAUUUAAUGUGAGUGGAUAUUCUUAGGAAGGUUGCAUGGUAAAUCUUCUAAAUUUUAAAGGUUAUAAUAUAAUUAAUUAAUAUAAACUAAAAUAACUUAACCAAAAAUUAUCAUCUUCUUCCUUGUUUCAAAUGCUUUAACCAAAUGGUUAUGGUGGGUGAUGAAAACCCAUUCGGCUAGUUUUUUGGGGUGCUUGGUAAGCUAUUUUCACCCAUUUCUUUUAAUUUUUAUGUUUUUGAGAUCGUUGCAACUAGGUCUAGCUAGUUUGUACCUUCGAUUUUGAAACUGUUAAAGAUAUUGAAUUUUUCCAUUGAAGAAUUUUGUGAAUUAAUUUGAAGUGUUAGUUAGUAUUUAAAAGUAUUUUGUUAAAUAAUUUUUGAUGAAUUUCCCGAUUAGGGACUAAAUUGUUAAAAUAAUAAAAAUACAUGGAUUUUAUGUGAAUUUAUUUAUAAAUAUGGGCUGUAUUGGGAGCUAUAAACACUUAGCUAAGCUCAAAAUUGGGUAACAAUGGUUAAUCUACAUGUUUUAGGUUCAGGGACUAAAUUGAAUAAAAGCAAAAUGUUAGAAACAAUUUUGUAAAAAUGUAAAAAAUGACUAAAUUGCAUAAAAUAAUUUUUUUUACUAUCUAUAUUAAUAAAUUGAAUGAAAUUAUUAAUUUAGAUCAAGAUUGAGUGGAAAAUCAAUGAGAAUAAAAAAUUACCAAAAUGCCUAUGUACUUUGACAUUUCUGCAAUUUAGCUAGGUAAAUUUGUACAGUUAGAAUUUAACAUCAAUAUGAAUUUUUGAGUAGAUUAACAUGGUACAAAUUAUAUAUUUAUUUUUAAUUGUUGAUAAUUAAUGGUAAUUUGAUAUAUAAUAUUAAAUUUGAUGCUCGGUUUGGACUGAACGCGGGAUAAAGUACAAUCGUGAUUUGUGUUUUAGGGGUUUAGAGUGGAGAUGGUAUUGGAGGGAGAUGUUUGUAUAUUACCUGCGGUUCAGCAGUUGUUAUGAACUCUCGUGUUAUACUCUCUGUCUGGAGUGUUUCGGUUGGAUUAGCUCUUAUGAGCUUCUGUCCGGCGUGUUUCAGUUGGAUUAGCUCUUAUGAGCUUCUGUCUAGUGUGUUCAGUUGAUCUGACUAUGCACUCUUAUCUGUAAGUUGUUCUUCAAAUGAAAAAUCUAGGUAAGGUAAUAUGCUUAAUGAAUUUGAAAGAUUUGUUAUUUAUUGAAUAUUGAUCUGAACAUAGAUGAAUUCAUCAGUUGAAAUUGUGGAUGCUAGGGAACUCUGUAACACCCCCUAACCCCAAAUUGUUACCAGAACGAGGUUAUGAGGCAUUACCGAACAUAUCAGACAACUUACGAAUAAUUUACCAUUAAUAUAACUUUCAUAGUAUAAUAUAAUAAUUAAGUCCCUAUCUUGAACUCUCGAAGUUCAAACACGUAUUAAAAGUAGAACGGGACUUGUUCGAGUAUUCCAAUUUUUUUUUUAUAAAAAUUUUGGCAGCAUUUCUGCUUAUUUUUACCUAAACCUCCUGCAAAUUCAAACCAAAACAACCAACACCAAUAUUUCACAUUCAUAUACUAAUAUUUAUAUUAUUAACAAAAUUUUAAUUUAAUAAGUAUCAUAGCAUCAUUCAAAAUUGAUUAAAAACUUCAUUCAUUUAACAACUUAAUGUUCAUGUAUCAAAAUAUCAUGUACUUUCUUUACCAUUUCAUUUAACCAUCUAAAUUUUAUAAUUCAUCCUUCACUACCCAAAGUAAUAUACAUAUUCAGGUGACUACCUAUGUACAUGCCACCUUUACCCAAAAGAAAAAUAUACAUCACCAAGUUUGUGUUGGAGUCAGGAUUGUUCUGGAUCCUGAGCCGGGACACUUGAUUCCUACUAACCUGCGCACGGAAACAACCGUACGCUGAGUAUGGAUAUACUCAGUGGUAUUACUAUAAAUCAAGACUAUUUAACAUUAAUAAAUUACAAACAUCAACCAUAAAUUUUAUAAUUAUUUAAACUACUUUUAUGUAAAAUUAUUUUACUUCAUAAAUCUUAAAUUCAUAAUUUAUUUUUCUCAUACUAACUCAAUUCAUAAUUUAGUUCAUACAUUCUUUCUCGUACUUUUCAAUAGUGCUAAAACAAAUAAUCUCAUUUUCAAAAUUUCAUUUCAAUUAUUUACCCUAUUAACAAAGCUCGGACUAUGACAGAUACGCGGAUUCCAUCCAAACACACCAGAAUGUCCAACCCAAACACACCCGGAAUAUUGUAAAUCCUCCAUAACACACCGGUAUAAUAUAUCCUCCCAAACACACCAAUAAGGCAUUAAAUGCCUAUUCAGAUAAACCGAAGUAUAUAAUAACAGAAACAUCCUCUCGGCCGAACUACAAUCUCUUCAUCACAUCACAAAUCCAAUGGCAUGCCAUUUGUAUCGGAUUUAGUCCGACAAGUUAAUAGGGUAUUUUUUUUUCUAAUUUCAAUUUCAUUUACAGAAAAAUUUUCAAUACUCAUUCAAUCCAAAUAUCUAUUAUCUUAAUUCAUAUACAAUUUAAUUUUCACACAAGUGUAUACCAUCAACACCAUACAUUUGUCACAAUUUAUUUAUUUUCAAUCAAUACACUUUUCAAAUAAUCACAUAUUCCAUAAUUUACUUAUUCAAUUCAACUUGAUUCAAUUUAUAUCACUUUCAUUUUCACUCAAUAUUCAUAUCGAUUUCACAUACUUACCUCAAGUCUUAUUUACCAUACAUAACAAUUAAAAUUUCAGCAAUCAAUAAUAAUUAAAAUUUGAAUUAUAGUAAUACACACCGUAAUUCUCCCGUUUUAGUCCUCGAUGACUUUCUCCUUUCCUUUCGAUGCUGAUGCUUCCGGUUCUUUGUUGGCUACGAAAAUAAUAGUAAUUUACAUUAUUAUUUACAGCAUUAAUUAUAAUAAAUAAUUAAAUUUCUAAACAACUCCUACCUUAUUCCCAAUUUAAUCCUAACUAAACUUAAUUAUUUUCUUAAUCCAAUUCACUCUCUUUUUCUAUUCAAAUUUUGUCUAAACUUAUAUUUAACUAUAAAAUUUCCAGCAUAUUUCCCUAAUUUCUAAAUUUCUUCAAUUUAGUCCCUACAACAUAAAACUUAUAGCCUAGUUUACAAUUUAAUCCCUUAAUCAAUUCUAACUUAGAAUUCAUUCAAUUAAAUCCCUAAUUCCAUAAAUUUUCCAACAUGAACCCUACUUGGAAACAUAUGAACUCUUGAACUAUCAACUUAAUUUCAUCAAAAUCUUGUUUCAAAGCUCCAAAAACAUCAAAAUUAACUAAAAAAGACUUAAUUAACUUACCAAAUUAACUCCAAGCUUCAAAUCCUUAGUUUUCUCUUUUAUUUUUCUUUCCCCUUUUCUUUCUCUUUUUCUCCCCUGCUUCCCGUUUUCAACUCUGUUUCUAUUUCCUUUUGUUUCUUUAUUUCUUUAAUUCUUUUAUACUUUAUUAUUUUAUUAACAUAAUAUAAUAUUAAUAUAAUAUAUUAAAAUAUAUUUUACUUUAAUAUUAAGUAAAUUAAUAAUUAUAUAACAAGUGUACAUAUUUAUAUUAUUACAAAUGUCAUUAUCUAAUUUGCUUAUUAAAUAAAAAUCUCAUGAUUUAAUUAAUACAAUUAAUAAUUAUAAAAUAUUUUUAUACUUAAAUUAUAAGUAAUUAAAUAUUUAAAUUACAAAUGUACCCAUACAAUUCUUACACAUGUAUAUUUUAUUAUCAUACAAUUGUCUUCUAUUUAAUUUAUUUAUAAUAUAAUAUCAAUUAAAUAAUCAUAACAAUUUAAUAUAAAACCAUAAUAAUAAUCAUUAUAAUAUAUAAAACCUAAAAAACAUCUUUGAUUUUAUUUCACCAAUAUGCCACCUCAUUUGUAGUCAAUGGCUUAAUUGUCAUUUUAAUCCUUUUUAUUUUCUAUUGCUUUAUAAUUAAACUUUUACCCUUUAUUCAAUUUAAUCCUUUUUAUUACUUACUCUAAAUUAAGCUAAAUUCACUUAAUUAGAUCCUAAUUAGACACACCACUAGGCUCAUAAAUAUUUUAAAUAAUUAUUUUCGAACUUAUUUCACUAAGACGGAGGCCCUAUAACUCACUUUUCCGGUGCCCGUGAAUUUCAGGUCAUUACAUUUCUCCCCCCUUAAUAAAUUUCGUCCUCGAAAUUUACCUGAGAAGAGAUGAGGAUAUUGUACUCUCAUAGUUUCCUCUGGUUCCCAAGUCGCUUCUUCAACAUUAUGAUUUCUCCAUAGGACUUUCACUAAAGGAACCUUUUUAUUUCUUAAUUCUUUCACUUCUCGUGCUAAAAUUUGAACCGGCUCUUCUUCAUAUGAUAGAUCAGGUCGAACUUCAAUAUCUUCUGUAGAAAUUAUAUGAGAAGGAUCUGAUCUAUAUUUCCGUAGCAUCGAAACAUGAAAAACAUCAUGAAUCAUUUGUAAGUCAGAAGGUAAAGCUAAUCGAUAUGCAACUGGUCCAAUUCUUUCCACUAUUUCAUACGACCCAAUAAAACGUGGGGUCAAUUUUCCUUUCCGACCAAAUCUCAAAACUUUUUUCCAAGGAGAAACCUUAAGAAAUACUUUGUCUCCAACUGAAUAUUCAAUGUCCCGACGUUUCAGAUCAGCAUAAGAUUUUUGUCUGUCAAAAGCUGCUUUUAAUCUCUGUUGAAUCUUCUUGACUGUUUCUUCUGUUUCACGAAUCAAUUCUGGCCCAAUUACUUUUCUUUCAUUCAAUUCCGUCCAACAUACUGGUAAUCUACAUUUUCGACCAUAUAACGCUUCAUACGGAGCCAUCUGAAUACUAUAUUGGAAACUAUUAUUAUAGACAAACUCAGCUAGUGGCAAAUAUCGCUCCCAACCUGCUUCAAACUCAAUAAUACAAGUUCGAAGCAUAUCUUCUAGUACCUGAAUUACCCGUUCGGACUGUCCGUCAGUUUGGGGAUGAAAAGCUGUACUGAAACUAAGUCUAGUACUCAACGACUCAUGUAACUGUCUCCAAAAUCUCGAUGUGAACCGAGGAUCUCGAUCUGAAAUUAUUGAUAUCGGAAUGCCAUGUAGUCUAACAAUGUCUCGAAUAUACACAUCUGCAAGCUUCUGCAACGACCAAUCAGUCUUGACUGCUAUAAAAUGUGCUGACUUGGUAAGUCUAUCAACUAUCACCCAAAUAGCAUUCUUUUUGCUUGCUGACAACGGUAAUCCCGUAAUAAAAUCCAUCGUGAUGCGAUCCCAUUUCCAUUCAGGAAUAUUAAUAGGCUGAAGCAAUCCAGUAGGAACCUGAUGUUCUGCCUUUACUCGUUGGCAAGUCAGACAUUUACUUACAAAUUCUACUAUGUCUCUUUUCAUCCCUGGCCACCAGUAUAAUUCUCUUAAAUCUCGAUACAUUUUCGUGCCUCCGGGGUGCAUAGCAAACGAACUAUCAUGAGCUUCACGUAGAAUUAACUCUUUGGGCUCAGAAGUAUUUGGAAUACAAAUCCGAUUUCGAAACCUCAAGCAUCCACAAUCAUCAAUACUAAAAUUUUCUACUAUGCCAUUCUGUACCAUCUCUCUUUUCUUCAAUAAUUUGUCAUCUUCCAACUGAGCUGAUCUAAUCUGAUCAAACAUUACCGAUUUUACUCUUAAUUCGGCCAAAAUACUCCCAUCAUCAUUGAUACUAAGCCGUGAAAACAUUGCUCUUAAUUCAAUUACAGCUUUUCUGCUUAAUGCAUCAGCUACAACAUUAGCUCUUCCCGGAUGAUAGUCUAUAACACAAUCAUAAUCUUUCAGAAGCUCGAUCCAACGCCUUUGUCUCAAAUUCAAUUCCUUCUGAGAAAGAAGAUACUUCAAACUCUUAUGAUCAGUAUAGAUGUAGCAUUUUUCACCAUAAAGAUAAUGUCUCCAAAUCUUCAAUGCAAAAAUCACAGCCGCUAACUCAAAAUCAUGAGUGGGAUAAUUCCUUUCAUGUGAUUUCAAUUGAAGAGAUGCAUAGGCUAUUACCUUCCCAUCCUGCACCAAUACACAACUCAAACCACUCAAAGAAGCAUCACUAUACACUAAAAAUUCUUUACCCGAUUCUGGCAAUGUCAAAACUGGUGCUUCGGUUAACAUUCGCUUCAAUGUUUCAAAACUUUUCUGACAUUGAUCAUCCCAAAUAAAAGGAACAUUCUUCUGCAAUAGUUUCGUCAUUGGUAGUGCUAUCUUCGAGAAUCCAUUUACAAACCUCCUGUAAUACCCAGCUAAACCGAGAAAACUGCGUACCUCCGAUACAUUAUUUGGCACCUUCCACUGAACAAUUGCUUCGAUCUUUUUCGGAUCAACUCGAAUUCCAUCUGCAGAUAUUACAUGUCCCAGAAAUACCACUUCUGAUAACCAGAACUCGCAUUUACUAAGCUUUCCAUAUAACUGUUUCUCUCGUAAAAUUUGUAGAACUAUUCGAAGAUGCUGAUCAUGUUCUGCUUCUGUCUUCGAAUAUACCAAUAUAUCAUCAAUGAAAACCACCACAAACUGAUCUAAAUACAGCUGAAAGAUAUGAUUCAUGAGAUCCAUAAAAGCAGCUGGGGCAUUUGUUAACCCAAAUGGCAUUACCAAGAACUCAUAAUGGCCAUACCUCGUACGAAAAGCUAUUUUCGGUACAUCACUUUCUUUUACCUUCAACUGAUAGUAACCCGACCUUAAGUCAAUCUUCGAAAACACAGAAGCUCCUCUCAACUGAUCAAAUAAAUCAUCAAUGCGAGGCAACGGGUACUUAUUUUUAAUUGUUACCUUGUUCAACUGUCGGUAAUCAAUACAAAGUCGCAUAGAGCCAUCUUUCUUUUUAACAAACAAUACUGGAGCUCCCCAGGGUGAAAUGCUUGGUCUAAUAAAUCCAUGAUCUAGUAAAUCUUGUAACUGCACCUUCAACUCUUUCAACUCAGUGGGCGACAUUCGAUACGGAGGUAUAGAAAUUGGUGUUGUACCUGGAUACACCUCAAUAGCAAAUUCAACCUCUCUGUCAGGUGGUAAGUCCGGUAAUUCUUCUGGGAAUACAUCUGGAAACUCACGUACAGUCCUAAUCUGAUUGCACUAACUCCCAACUGAAUCAGAAUUAAUAACAUAUGCCAAGUAUGCUGGACAACCCUACUGCAGUAAUUUAUUAGCCUAAAUCGCUGAAAUAAUGCGUGUCGAACCACUGGUACGGAUGCCAUUCACUUCAAUUCUAUUCCCAUUUUUUGUCUGAAUACUAAACCUCUUUUUAUAGCAAUCCAAAACUACCCCAUGUUCAUAUAGCCAGUCCAUACCCAAAAUGAUAUCAAAAUCACCAAAAGGCAUGAUCAACAAGUCCACAAGAAACAUUUUAUCAUGUAUUAUUAACGGGCACCUCCGACAUACUCUAUCUACUAACACCGUUUGUCCCAAAGGGCUAGACACUUCUAUAGAAACUUUAGACAUUUCAGAUUCUAAUUUCCCCGAUUCGACUAGUUUUGAAUUUAUAUAUGAGUGUGACGAACCCGGAUCAAUUAAAGCAUAAAUAGGCUCAGAAUACAAUAGAAAUAUACCUGUAACAACAUCAUGUGCAUCGCCCUCCUCACGGGUCCGGACUACGUAAGCUCUGGCCGGCGCUCUGGCCUCUGACUGUUGUGUAACUAUAUUGCUGUUUCUUUUGACACCUCCACCUCUAGACACAGAACCCAAACCACCCGUACUAGAUCCUCUGCCACGAACAGUAGGUACUGAUCUUUGAGAUGUUGCAGGUGUGGCACUUUCACCUUUCGGACAAUCUCGAAUGAAAUGAUCUGUGGCCCCACAUCGAAAACAUCGUCGAGUUAUCCUCCAACAUUCACCUAAAUGUUUCUUUCCGCAAUGCUCACAGUCUAGAAUUUCUAUACUUCGGGAUGGACCUCUCACACUACUAGUAGAUAUUGUCAUCUCUUUACCUCUGCUUCUACCACUUCUAUCUGAACUAAAGCUGGAUCUCCAGUCACUUCUUGAUUCUCUGAAUCUCUUCGGUAAUGGAUUAGAACUAGUAGUUCCCAUACAUUUCCCAGCUGAUUUACCAAUUUCUGAUUUUUUAUCCAGACCCAGUACUUGUUCUAUCAUUUUUGCUCGCUCAACCAGAUCAACAAGUUCAGUAAUUCUGAGACUUACCAAUUGAAUCUUGAUUUCAUCUCGCAGUCCCCGUAGAAAUCGUUUACAACUAUCAGCCUCGGUUGGAACAUAUUCUAAAGCAUACCUGCUCAAUCUAGAGAACUCUCACUCAUAAUCCAGUACUGACAUAUUCCCCUAUUUCAACACUAAAACUCUUGCUUUUUCUCUUCGAUGUACAAUUCCCUAAUAUACUUCUUCUUAAAUUCUUUUUGAAACAAGUCCCAAGUUACCUGAUCAUCCGGCAAAUGUCUAACCACAGAUUCCCACUAGAGAUACGCUUCUCCUUGUAACAGUGAUACAGCACAUAUCAGACUCUCUCAGGGGGUGCAGUCUAAUUGUUGCAAAACUCUUUUUGUUGUUUCUAUCCAAUUUUCAGCAACGGAUGGAUCAGCUCCUUUUAAUCCCUGAAAUUCCGUGGCACCAUAUUUUCGUAGCUCUUUAAUUGGGGCCUGUCUGACAGUAGGUACAGAUGUAGUAGCAGGUAUAGCUCUCACUAUGUGCUGUAAUGCAUCAGCUAUAUCUCUUAACACUUGAGAGGUAUUUCUUUCUCUCCCUACGUUAGGAGAUUGAUUAUUUAACGGAUUCACACCAGGUGUAACAGAUUCAGUUUCUUCUAAUUCUCGACUUCCAGUAUACAUUUCCUGUUCAACAUUAUCCAUUCUUUCAUCUGACAUUUUAUCUAUAAAACAAAAUCAAAUAAAUACAUUAGCAUCCAAAAAUCCCGACUCAAUUUCGACUCGACAGUGGCAUGUACUUCUAAACUCACUUCUGAGCCCAAUUUAGCCCGAGAAUCGACUAAACCUGAUAACUCUGAUACCAACAAUUGUAACACCCCCUAACCCCAAACCGUUACCGGAACGAGGUUAUGAGGCAUUACCGGACAUAUCAGACAACUUACGAAUAAUUUACAAUUAAUAUAACUUUCAUAGUAUAAUAUAAUAAUUAAGUCCUUAUCUUGAACUCUCGAAGUUCAAACACGUAUUAAAAGUAGAACGGGACUUGUUCGAGUAUUCCAAUUUUUUUUUAUAAAAAUUUCGGCAGCAUUUCUGCUUAUUUUUACCUCAACCUCCUGCAAAUUCAAACCAAAACAACCAACACCAAUAUUUCACAUUCAUAUACUAAUAUUUAUAUUAUUAACAAAAUUUUAAUUUAAUAAGUAUCAUAGCAUCAUUCAAAAUUGAUUAAAAACUUCAUUCAUUUAACAACUUAAUGUUCAUGUAUCAAAAUAUCAUAUACUUUCCUUACCAUUUCAUUUAACCAUCUAAAUUUUAUAAUUCAUCCUUCACUACCCAAAGUAAUAAACAUAUUCAAGUGACUAAAUAACACCUAUGUACAUGCCACGUUUACCCAAAAGAAAAAUAUACAUCACCAAGUUUGUGUUGGAGUCGGGAUUAUUCUGGAUGCUGAGCCGGGACACUUGAUUCCUACUAACCUGCGCACGGAAACAACCAUACGCCGAGUAUGGAUAUACUCAAUGGUAUUACUAUAAAUCAAGACUAUUUAACAUUAAUAAAUUACAAACAUCAACCAUAAAUUUUAUAAUUAUUUAAACUACUUUUAUAUAAAAUUAUUUUACUUCAUAAAUUUUAAAUUCAUAAUUUAUUUUUCUCAUACUAACUCAAUUCAUAAUUUAGUUCAUACAUUCUUUCUCGUACUUUUCAAUAGUGCUAAAACAAAUAAUCUCAUUUUCAAAAUUUCAUUUCAAUUAUUUACCCUAUUAACAAAGCUUGGACUAUGACAGAUACGCGGAUUCCAUCCAAACACACUAGAAUGUCCAACCCAAACACACCCGGAAUAUUGUAAAUCCUCCAUAACACACCGGUAUAAUAUAUCCUCCCAAACACACCAAUAAGGCAUUAAAUGCCUAUUCGGAUAAACAGAAGUAUAUAAUAACAGAAACAUCCUCUCGGCCGAACUACAAUCUCUUCAUCACAUCACAAAUCCAAUGGCAUGCCAUUUGUAUCGGAUUUAGUCCGACAAGUUAAUAGGGUAUUUUUUUUUCUAAUUUCAAUUUCAUUUACAGAAAAAUUUUCAAUACUCAUUCAAUCCAAAUAUCUAUUAUCUUAAUUCAUAUACAAUUUAAUUUUCACACAAGUGUAUACCAUCAACACCAUACAUUUGUCACAAUUUAUUUAUUUUCAAUCAAUACACUUUUCAAAUAAUCACAUAUUCCAUAAUUUACUUAUUCAAUUCAACUUGAUUCAAUUUAUAUCACUUUCAUUUUCACUCAAUAUUCAUAUCGAUUUCACAUACUUACCUCAAGUCUUAUUUACCAUACAUAACAAUUAAAAUUUCAGCAAUCAAUAAUAAUUAAAAUUUAAAUUAUAGUAAUACACACCGUAAUUCUCCCGUUUUAGUCCUCGAUGACUUUCUCCUUUCCUUUCGAUGCUGAUGCUUCCGGUUCUUUGUUGGCUACGAAAAUAAUAGUAAUUUACAUUAUUAUUUACAGCAUUAAUUAUAAUAAAUAAUUAAAUUUCUAAACAACUCCUACCUUAUUGCCAAUUUAAUCCUAACUAAACUUAAUUAUUUUCUUAAUCCAAUUCACUCUCUUUUUCUAUUCAAAUUUUGUCUAAACUUAUAUUUAACUAUAAAAUUUCUAGCAUAUUUCCCUAAUUUCGAAAUUUCUUCAAUUUAGUCCCUACAACAUAAAACUUAUAGCCUAGUUUACAAUUUAAUCCCUUAAUCAAUUCUAACUUAGAAUUCAUUCAAUUAAAUCCCUAAUUCCAUAAUUUUUCCAACAUGAACCCUACUUGGAAACAUAUGAACUCUUGAACUAUCAACUUAAUUUCAUCAAAAUCUUGUUUCAAAGCUCCAAAAACAUCAAAAUUAACUAAAAAGGACUUAAUUGACUUACCAAAUUAACUCCAAGCUUCAAAUCCUUAGUUUUCUCUUUUAUUUUUCUUUCCCUUUUUCUUUCUCUUUUUCUCCCCUACUUCCCGUUUUCAACUCUGUUUCUAUUUCCUUUUGUUUCUUUAUUUCUUUAAUUCUUUUAUACUUUAUUAUUUUAUUAACAUAAUAUAAUAUUAAUAUAAUAUAUUAAAAUAUCUUUUACUUUAAUAUUAAGUAAAUUAAUAAUUAUAUACCAAGUGUACAUAUUUAUAUUAUUACAAAUGUCAUUAUCUAAUUUGCUUAUUAAAUAAAAAUCUCAUGAUUUAAUUAAUACAAUUAAUAAUUAUAAAAUAUUUUUAUACUUAAAUUAUAAGUAAUUAAAUAUUUAAAUUACAAAUGUACCCAUACAAUUCUUACACAUGUAUAUUUUAUUUCCAUACAAUUGUCUUCUAUUUAAUUUAUUUAUAAUAUAUUAUCAAUUAAAUAAUCAUAACAAUUUAAUAUAAAACCAUAAUAAUAAUUAUUAUAAUAUAUAAAACCUAAAAAAAAUCUUUGAUUUUAUUUCACCAAUAUGCCACCUCAUUUGUAGUCAAUGGCUUAAUUGCCAUUUUAAUCCUUUUUAUUUUCUAUUGCUUUAUAAUUAAACUUUUACCCUUUAUUCAAUUUAAUCCUUUUUAUUACUAACUCUAAAUUAAGCUAAAUUCACUUCAUUAGAUCCUAAUUAGACACACCACUAGGCUCAUAAAUAUUUUUAAUAAUUAUUUUCGAACUUAUUUCACUAAGACGGAGGCCCUAUAACUCACUUUUCCGGUGCCCGUGAAUUUCAGGUCAUUACAAACUCUCAUGGUUGAUUAUUAUUGUUUGAACUGUUGUAUUUACUUCGGUAAGAUUUAUCGUUUAAUAUGUCGAACUUACUAAGCUUCUUUAAGCUUACUUAUAUUUUUUAAUAUUAUUGUAGAUUCUCGGAAGGUUGGACGACCGAAUCAGCACUCAGGUCACACUAUCCAACUCAAUUCGAUAGUUUUUGGAAUGUUUAAUUUAGCUUAUAUGGCAUGUAUAGGCUCUUGUGUGAUUAUCGUUAAUGUUUUGGUUUAUAUAAAAACUAUAGAUGAUUUUUUGUGUAAAUGGUCAACUUAUAUAAUAUAUGAGAAUGAGGUAUAGUUUAUAUGCUAAUGUGAAUGAUAUGUAUUAAAGAAAUGUUGUGAUUGAGAUACCUUUGAUAGGUAUUUUGGAUAGGUAUUGCUUGAAUGAAUUGAUAAUUAUUUUGAUGUAUAAUUAUAUAUACUUGUGGUACCAAUGAGGGUACAUUGGUUAGGCACUUAAUAGGUUGUUUUAGUGUGUUUUUGGCUCGAUUAAAGUCAUUUUGAUUUGGCAUUUUGGUUGGCAUUUGAGUUUCUUAAGGUCCAAGCAAACUUGAAAUGCUAAUCUUGUGUUUUAAGGUUCAUUUUGGGUACACAUGGUCUGAGACACGGGCGAGUGUCUCAACCUUGUGUGACACACGGCCAUACGACACUAUCGUGUGUCCCCUGUAGGUUAAAGGCAUGCAAGUCAGCGAGUUACAUGGCCUAAGAGACAGGCGUGUGUCACAGUCGUAUGACCCCGGUAGUCCAAAUUUUUCAACUUUUUCCUAAACUUUCCAAAUAUUUCUGAUUUAGUCCUGGAUUGAUUCUUUUAUAUUCUUAGAGUCUCAAGGACUCAAUUAAGGGAUGUUAUGAAUGUAUUUGAAUUAAUUUAUAAUAUUUAUUGUAUUAGUGUAUGAAUUGAAUGGUUUACUGUUUCAUUUUUUUGGUAAUGCUUCGUAACUCUGUUACGACACCAAAUACGAGUUAGGGGAGUUACACAAGAUAUUGGAGAGCUGUGCUAUAACUGAUUCAAAGAAGGGUAAUCAACCUUCUAAUAUUGAGAUUUCACCUCUCUUUGGAGGAUUGUUCUAAGACAGUGGAAGAAAGAGAGAACAUGUGAAAUGUUCAUUAUGCUUCAACAAUAGGAAGUCUCAUGUAUGUUAUGUUGUGUAUGCAUCCAAAUAUCUAUUUUGCUAUAGGGUUGGUGAGUUGAUAUUAGGCGAAUCCAAGACCAAGAAAUUGGCAAAUAGUUAUGCAUAUACUCAAGUAUUUACAAAGAAUAAAGGAUUUUAUGCUUGUGUAUUAUGGAAGAGAUCUUACUCUUAUUGGAUAGACUGAUUCUGACUUCCAAACGUGUCGAGAUUUGAGGAAAUCAAUAGCAGGCUGUGUUGUUGUCCUAGGUGAUCUACUUAAUUUGAUACGUCAAACUAAACUUUCUAAUACACUUAAGGAGCUUAUCUUAAAACAAUUUAAGUGUCUUUUAUAUGGUUUUUUUUAUUUUUAUUUUUGUUUUUAAUAAUUUUUUAAUUAGUUUCAAGUCAUUUCUGACACCCAAAUUGGCCAAUUGUGGCAUGGGAAACCUAACAAGUUGAUUAAGUGAUAUAGGGAGUUGACGGUGGCCCGAACAGAAAGAAAACAUCACCUACAAUGGGGUAUCACGAUAUCAAAGCAUGGAAGUGUAAUACCCUUGAAAAAACUGAAAUGAAGAAAAUCGAGGCCGGCUACUAUGACAUCGCGGUACCAAGACAUCUCAAGACCAUCCAUUCCCAGAUUGUUAGGGGUAUCACGAUAUUCAAGUUUGGGUAUCAUAAUAUCGCUGCCUAACGGAUGAAAAAACUGGAAAGGCAAUUUUAUGUCCGACAAACUUAAGUUUAUUUUUCACUUAAUGGUAAAUUAGUCAAUGCUAGAUUACAUAGUAAUAGACUAUAAAUACAACUUUAUAAGCCUUUCAUUUCAAAUUUUAUUAUUAUCCUUACCCGUUAGUUAAAAAAUAAGUUACUUGUCCAAUUGUUAAGUGUUAGUGAAAUUGUCUUUAAAACCCGAGUCUGAAUCCCCUCCCUCGCAUAAUUUUUAUCUUUUUUUGUAUUUUUGCCCAAAAACCCUAGGUGUUGUCGUCCGAUGUUGUAACCCUAGGUACAUAUUGUAUUUUUUUCUUUUCUUUUCAGCCUCAUUUGCUCACCCUAUCUGCGUCCUACCUUCUCUCUUCCCAUCAUUUCUUCAAUAAUUCUUUUCUCUUAUCUUUUUUAUUGCCUCCCCUUGAAACCUCAUAUUUUCUCUUUCAUUGACGUCGUCCUAGUUGAUCAGCCACCACUACUAUUGCCCCUUUUGCUUCUCCUCUCCUUCUCUCAUUUUCUCUCAUUCUUUUGCUGACGAAACCACCAUUCAUUUUUGGUCAAAUCUUUUUUGGCCCUCUGCAAGUGAUGAAUCCAUUUUGUGAUUAUUUGUCAUCAAAGGUCUGAGAUCCGCGAAGUGUAAGUUGUUUAUUAGUCAAAUCUAAAUACAUAUUUCUUUUCUAUAAUGGUUGAAUCUAUCAAGAGUCCAUGGCUAAUUCUCAAAUGUGUUAUUUUUGUGUUUUUUAUUUAAGGUUCAUAUUCAAAUCACUCAGAUCAAUGUGACAUCAAACAUUAUUUGUAUCUUCGUCUUAAGCCGAAAUAGUGUAUGUGGUGAAUCCAAAAAUCAUAUAUGAAUUGCCAUUGUUUUCUCUGAUUUGGCCGAACCUUAUAAGGUGAUUAUUGGCUAAUUUCUAACAAUUUUUCCUUGUGUUAGGUACAAAUUAAACUAGAUUUAAUCAAAUCUGAAGCAUAGGAGCUGCAGACUAGUGUUAGUACUUUAGAUAUGCAUUAUUCAGGUAUGGGUCCUAACUUUGUAUGUUUGGUGAUUGUUGAAAUCAUGUUUGUACUUUAUUGGCAUUGGUCGAAUGUUCUAGGGCCUUAAAGUGUAAAUAACCAAGUGUGUAAGUGCUAUAAGUGUUAACCAAUUCUAUGCAUAUUGUUAUUGGUUGAUUAGCUAAAUGCAUGUUAUUACAUGUACUGUAUUGUUAAGCAUGUUGAUUGUUACUAUAUAAAUGGAUUGCAAAUAUAGCAUGCCAUUGAUUGAUACAUUGUUUAUUGCUUGCAUUAAAAAAAACAUGUCACUGAUUGAUAUUAUUUUUAUCGAAUUAAAUUGUUACACAUGCCAUUGUUAUUGAAAUUGUUAUUGAAAAGCAUGAUAUGCUACACUAUUGGUAUGCCAUAAUGCAUUGCAUGGGGAUUGGGAUUGAUUGAUGAUGGAGGAGGUCCGUGGAGUACCGGCAGUUUAUCCAUCAUAUUAUACUGGCAAUUGAAGUAAUGUUCGGAGUACUGACGGUUUAUCCGCAAAGUACUAGCGAUUUAUCCACAAAUUAUUGGCAGUCUAAUUGAAAAAAUUGUUAAUGGUGGUUUAUCCACAUUGAGCCACGACUCUUACUAUUUUGGUGUUCUAAUGAUGAUCUCUGGGGAACUCAUGGUGUGUAGCAGAUGGAUGGGUAGGAAAUAUACAUUGUUUUCACAUGAGCAUGCCAAUGUAUAUAUAAUGUACUUUUAUGAUGUCAUGCUCUACUAUGAUCUAAGAAAUGUUGCUGGCUGUAUGCUUUACUGUAGUUUGAAUGUCUACAUGUAUAUAUAAUGUUUACUAAGUUUAAGACUCGUGUUGAGCUUUUUACAGCUCACCCCCAUAAUUUUAUCCUUACAGAUAAUCCUUGAGGUUAGGAUCGGACACGACAUUUGGAGGUUUCAUCUCAAUUUUAUUUAAUAAAGCAAUUUAAAUUUUACUUUAUUUUGUUAUGGUUUUUGGGACUGUAAUUUUGUUAAUUUUGGGUUGUGACAUGGGUUCUUUUUAAGGUUGAAUUUCUGCAUGCAUUCAAUUCAUUAAACUGAAAAAACCUAAUAAAUUUGCUUAAUAUCAUACUAAAUAAGGUUUAAAGUAAAAACUGAUGGUUUCAAUUUUUCUGAUGCGAAACAAGGAAAGGAGUUAUGAAAAGCAUACAAAAAAACAAAAAGCAAACAAGUUUACCCAAAAAUGCCACAAGCAAACAAGUUUACCCAAAAAUGCCACAACACAUAUUAAAUUUAGAACCUUAAUAUUACCUCGACUUAAAAUCUGAUGUCUUUUAUAAAUAUAUGACAAUUAAUCUAAGUUUUCUAAAAAUCAAAAAAAUAAAUGUUACGGGAACUGAAUGACUUUAUUAGGCCAUUUCAGUCGCUAAUGUAACUUUCAAUAUCUAAUCAAAAUGUUUGGAUCGAGUUAGGGAGGAUAUCAUUGCGGUUGAAAAUUUGAAGCAAUUGGAAAAAUGCCACAACACAUAUUAAAUUUAGAACCUUAAUAUUAACUCGACUUAAAAUCUGAUGUCCUUUAUAAAUAUAUGACAAUUAAUCUAAGUUUUCUAAAAAUGAACUGAAUGACUUUAUUAGGCCAUUUCGGUCGCCAAUGUAACUUUCAAUAUCUAAUCAUAAUGUUUGGAUCGAGUUAGGGAGGAUAUCAUUGCGGUUGAAAAUUUGAAGCAAUUGGAAAAAUAAAUAUUACUAUUGACAAGAAAGUGUUAUCAAAUGUAAGAGAAUCUCUUGAAUUAUGGGCUGGUAAUGGAAGAAAGUCAAAUAUUGAAGGUGACAUGAAAGGGAUGACGUUGCUUGGUAUUGAUAACAUGGGUGUAAACGAGACAGAUGAAGUGGAAGUAAGUAACCGAGGCAAAGAAGGUGAGUGUGCAAGUCCAAUUUUAGAGAUGGAUCAGACACUAGCGUUCAGCCAUUCAAAUCAGAAUCGAGGUUACGUUGAAACAACUGAGGUGAUAGGUAAAGAUAAUAUGACUGCAGGCAAGGAAUUGGUUGAAAUUACAAAGAGGAUAUUGUAGAGGACUAUAUAGUCAAAGGAGACAACAAAGUUAAGAAAAUUGAGAAAGAAGAAACUAACGGCCUGUGUUGAACACAUUCCGACUUCAAAAACAGGAAGAACACGUUGAAGUUCGGUAAGAUUGCGGAAUUACAAGUUGGUGGAGAUGAGGAUGAAGUUUUGAGACAUUUGGCAGCAAUCAGAGUUAGCUCAGUUCAAAGAAAGUUGAAGUUUUAUUUUGUUUUUUCUUUGAUGUACCAGUCAAUACCCUCAAACUUUCUUCUCUGAACCCUUCCUAAUGUUUCCCAUGAAUCCCCGACGCUAGCAUGCAAACUAUCUUAUGUUUCUCUAAAAUAAGAUCUUCUCUCGAUUUUGGAUGCUCUUGGGAUUCAUUGCCAAAGUCUGACUAAUAGAUGAAACCAUGGUGUUUGAAACUUCUCCCCAUCUCAAGGCUCUAUACGGUUUCUGCAUCUAGGUUUUUUAAACACUAACAAUAGUAUCUUACAUGCUAAGUCUCGAAGGAAACAAAGAAUUCUUUUGGAUCAUUUAUUUCGAUUUUUCUCAUAUGUCUUGUUUCUCUUUGUCCAGAGUUCCAUUAUUUUCAUCCCAAGCUUUCACUAUGAUAAAAAAAUAUAUUAAACUGAGGUGAAAGUAAUGGAGAGCAAAUACAUAAAAAAAUAUAUAAAAUAAAUUGAAGAUGGAAAGUGACUAUCCUAUGCACAUAAAAAUAUUAAAAAUUUGAUAAGAAAUAUUAAAUAUAAAAAAUAGAAUUUAAUAACACGAAAUUAUUUGAAUUAAAUAUAUGUAAUAUUAUUGUAUCGCAUAAUUUUACAUGAUAAUAUUAUGAUUAUAACAAUAAUUAUUACAAUUGCUACUCAUGCACAGGUUUGCUUUCACUAUAAAGAACGCAUAAUAAAAGUUAAAUUUUAAACAUAUUAGAUAAAAAUAAAUAAAUAAUAAUGCAUUUUAUAAUAUUAUUUUUAAAUAAUUUUAAAUAUUAAUAUUUUAAUUAAAAAUAAAUUUGAAAAAAAAAAGUAUGCCACAAAGAAUGAAUAUAUAUACCUUCUUAUAUUGUAUUAUAUUAUUUAUGAUAUGAUAUGAUUUAUUACAAAUGUUUCAAACAACGUUAGUUACCAUUUAAUCUAUAAUUUAUAAGUGUCAAAAAAACUCCUAAAAUAUGAAAGUUAAUCUUUUGUGAAAUGUGAAAAAAUUUUAAAAAAACUAAUAUUUAAUUUACAAUUUAGCAUUUAAAUUACAUUUAUAAAUUAAUUAUUACGAUACUUAAAAUAUUAGUUUAUCUAAAAACUAUUUUACUCAGCCAAAUAUAUAAAAAAAAAGGUAUAUAAAUUAAAUCCUAGCCUUAGCUUUUUUUUGAAAAAUUUCAAAGCACGAGAUUUUCAAAGAAUAAGAAAAAGAAGAUUAAAACACCAUAAUUUUUAUAGAGCGAUUAAUAUCCAUGAAAUUUAAACAAAUUCUCACAUCCGUAGGGCAUUCUCCACCAUGAAACAUUUUAAACUAAAUAUGGCCAUUUUUAGGGUUUUAACUGAUUCAUUUUUUAAUAUAAAUACGGAACUUCAAUAUAUAUUAUUCAAGCUUGUGCUCAAGGGGCCAUAAGUGAUAAGCAAUAAGCAGCCCCACAACUUCAAAUAAGGUUUUCUUCUUUCUUGCUUUCUUUUCUUCAGGGGAAAGAAAGAGAGAAGAAGAUAAUUUUUUUGUAAAAAAGUUGUUUAAAAAUGGCGAAUAAUGCUAUUAUUGGUAUCUGUGCGGUGUUCCUGGUGGCCAUGGUGGUAGCCGUGGUCGUGGGUGUUACGCACAUAAAAAACAAGAACGAUGGUGAAGAGAUAUCGAGUUCGAACAAAGCUGUGCAAGCCCUAUGUCAACCCACAAAUUAUAAAGAGACGUGCCAGAAAAGCUUGGCGUCGUCAAAUUCUAGCGACGUUAAGGAACUGAUAAGGACAGGUUUCCAAGCCGGGCUGGUCGAGAUAAAGAACGUGUUGGCCCAUUCAGUGACGGUCCAAGAGUUGAUCAAGGAUGAGAACAACAAAGCGGCACUUGGUGUUUGCCAAGAGGUGUUGGACUUAGCCAUUGAUGACUUUCAAAAGUCAUUCGACAUGCUAGGGGAAUACGACAUGAGCAAGAUAGGAAAAUACCUUUUAGAACUAAAGACCUGGCUAAGCGGUGCAUUCACGAGUCAACAGACAUGUAUAGACUCAUUCGCGCAAUCAAGCAACGAAUCAUCGCAGAAGAUGCAAUCAAUCUUGAAGACUAGCAUGGAGAUUACUAGCAAUGCUUUAGCAAUGCUUAAUGGGUUAUCCACCAUCGUGAAGGAACUUAACAUUCCAAAUGUCGGCAACAUCGACACCACGGGGGUCAAUCGUAAGCUUUUGUCAGCUGAGGACAUGCCUGAGUGGAUUAGUCAAGCUGACCGGAAACUCCUUCAAGCAAAACCAAUGGAUUUGAAGCCUAACGUUGUAGUUGCUAAAGAUGGUAGCGGGAAAUAUGAUACUAUUAACAAGGCAUUGGCUGAAGUCCCCGUGAAAAGUCCCGAUCGAUUUGUUAUUCACAUUAAGGCUGGUACUUACAAGGAAAAAAUCAAUGUGACCAAGCAGAUGACUAAUGUUGUAUUCAUCGGUGAUGGCCCAACCAAGACCAUCAUCACAAAUGACAUUAGCGUCGCUAAGAAUCCACCGGUUAGAACAUACCGUACUGCAACUGUUGGUAAGCAGUAUUAUAUAUGUAUAUAAUUUUUGGUUGUGAGGUGAGGUGGCUAACUAGUAUAUAUGUAUGUAUGUUUGUGAAAUAUUUUAGGUGUGGAUGGGGCUAGUUUCAUGGCUAAGGACAUUGGAUUCGAUAACUCAGCAGGACCCGAAGGUCAUCAAGCAGUGGCCUUUAGGGCCACUGCUGAUAAGGUCAUCAUGUUCAACUGCCAUUUCACUGGGUACCAAGACACUCUUUACGCUCACAGAGAGAGACAAUUAUAUACCAACUGUCUCAUUACCGGAACGGUGGAUUUCAUCUUCGGGGAUGCGACGAGCAUUUUCCAGAACUGUAUGCUCAUCGUGAGGAAGCCAGGGCCUGGCCAAAAUUGCAUGGUUACUGCACAGGGAAGGAAUGAUCUUGGAACAAACUCAGCCAUUGUGCUUCAAAACUGCACCAUCUCGGGCGCCCCUGAUUACAUCCCAGUGAAGGAUACGAACAAGGCAUACUUGGGGCGUCCCUGGAAACAAUUCGCUAGGUCUAUCAUAAUGCAAUCUCAGAUCGACGACAUCAUUCAACCAGAGGGUUAUGCCCCCAUGACAGGCACCAUAGGAAUAGACACUUCUUUCAUUGCCGAGUUUGGAAACAGGGGACCCGGUGCCGAUACCAGCCGUAGGGUAGCAUGGAAAGGUAUCAAAAAGAUAGAUAUAAAUGAAGCCAACAAAUGGACUCCUCGCGUCUAUCUUGAAUCUGAGACUUGGAUCCCGAGUUCUGGCAUUCCUUAUAGUCCCGACAUGGUCCCUGGAGUCUAGACAGCUUAUUAUCGAUACCAACGCCAUUAGUAUGCUUAUUAUCAUAUCAUUGUUCUAAUUAUGUCGUUUUUUACUAAUUAAUUAAACAGAUUUUUUAAUCUUUUAUCUAUCUAUGUAUAUAUGUUAAAUUCUUUGGUUCCCCAAUUGUUGUUUCCAUUCAUUUGUUAAUGAUGCUUGCAAAAGCAAAAAAUUAAGUUAACGUUUAAAUAUUAUUGUACUUAAUUUAAUAUAAUUUUUUAAGGAUUAUUUGGAUUGAUAAUGUUGUUCCCUGAUGUAGACACCUUACUUUAAAUAGAUUUAAUAAAAUGAUUAUUAUCAAACUUAAUUACAAGAUUUAAUAAAAAAUAGUUUAUUAAGUAACAAAUACUAAUAUAAUAUCAAAAAAUUAUAAAAACAAUUAUAUUACAAAAUAAUGAACCUUAGUUUUUAUAUAUAUUUUUUAUAUAAAGACUUAAGCAAGCAUCCCACUAAUGGAAUCAAAGAUUUGAUCAAGUGGUCAAGAUUUUUGAAUUUGAGCAAAACCUAGAUGAACAUUGUGUUUAUAAACAUUUAGGGGAAGAAAAGGUGGUCUUCCUCAUUUUAUAUGUCGGGUGAAAUUCUACUAUUUGAGAAUGAUGUAGGUAUAUUGUCAUCGUUUAAACUGUGGAGAAGCUAAUUUUGUUUUGGGAAUUUGAAUCUUAAGGGAUCGAAAGAACAAAGUGAUAGCACUAUCGCAAGAUUCAUACAUAGACAAGUUAUUGGAAAGCUAUUGUAUAACUGAUUCGAAGAAGGGUAAUCAACCUCCUAAUAUCGAGAUUUCACCUCUCUUUGGAGGAUUGUCCUAAGACAUUGGAAGAAAGAGAGAACUUGAGAAAGGUUCAUUAUGCUUCAAUGAUAGGAAGACUCAAGUAUACUAUGUUGUGCAUGUAACCAGAGAUCUAUUUUACAAUAGGGUUGGUGAGUAGUCAUCAGGUGAAUCUAAGACUAAGACACUGGCAAAUAGUUAAGCAUAUACUCAAGUAUUUACGAAAAAGUAGAGAUUUAAUGGUGGUCUGAGCAUGAAGAAAACUUCACCUAUGAGAAGGGUAUCACGGUAGGAAAGUAUGGAAGUCGUGAUACCCCUUAUAGUGCUGAAAUGAAGAGAAUCGAGGCUAGCUAUGAUGACAUCGCUAUACUGUGUGAUGGGUAUCGCAGUAGCGAGACAUCCCAAAACCACCCAUUUCAAGACUGUUGGAGGUAUCGCGAUAUUCAAGCCUGGGUUUCUGACCGCCUAUGGACAAACUAAUGUCCAGAGUGUGAAUACUGUAAUAAAAUAUAGAAAGAAAAGGUGAUAUCCGCAAGUAUAUCGGUCGACUGGUAAUAUAGUUUUACAACAAAGUGGGUGAGUACUCUGAGGAUUGUACCCAAGGGAGGCGAGUGCUAGAUCAAUUCUAACCAAAACACUGAAAGAUCUAAUAAGUACUUUUAAUAGUAAGUACUUUUAAUUGAGUUAUAGUACAAAAAAUAUAAUAUAAAGGAUUUUUUGGGGUUUUUGUAGUAAUAGUAAUAAAAAAUAUAUAAUAUAAAAAUAUAAAAGUAUAGAGAUUGAAGAGGAAGAAUAAAUCAAAUCUAAUUAUGGGUGAUUAGCUCUCUUCGACGAUCCUAAUCAACUGUCGUCUCGAGUUUCUGGUCAACCAAUUAGUCACUACCCUAGCAGGAUCUUUUGAUCUUCCACUAACAUAAUAAGUCAGCAAGAACUACUUAACUUCCGACCUCACACUCUAGACUGGCUUGGUUUAAAGAUGUUCACAGAUGGGCAAUACCAAUUUUGGGUUAAUUCCCACCUUGAUGACUUCUAGGGGUUGUCAAGCCUAGGGUUUGUUUCACACUCUUCUUUUCCCAAAUAGUUAAUAUACUAAUUAACCCUACAAAACAGUUAAGAGGUCAUUCCUCCACUUGCUAAUCCCCCAUAAAAAGAUUAGUUCCUCAUGGCUUUCAUAAACAACAUGGAAUAGAUGGGAGAAUUAAUCAUGGUGAAUGAAUUGAAGUAAAAGGUUUAAGAAAAACCUUAUUUAUAUAAAAAAUAACAUGAAUCCAUAGAAGUUGGUCGUCUUCACAAAUCAAAGCUCUUAAAGGAAAACAAAGAGCAAAUAAACUAAAAUCUAAAAACCUAAUAAAUUAGGAAAACAAAACUAAAUCUAAAGAACAAAUCUAAACGAAUGGAAUGGUGUCCAUAACAAGUGAUAAAUGAGUCUAUUUAUAGCCUUUAGGUGGUUGUCGUCCUUAACCAUAGGCUAGCUGACGUUCCCGAGCACUAAAGUUUGAUUUUGCAGACCAAAAUGCCCCUGCUUCGAGUUUUAUUUCCGUCACAGAAUCGAUGUUGUCACACCUAGGACUUGUGUCGCGACACAGUAACCAGCAUACUCCUCUGCGCUUAUCUUCAAGGGUAUGUCACAACAUCCUAAGUCUGUUUCGCGGCAUCAAAGGCAAUCUCGUACUUUGUCCAUUUUGUUUUCUAUAUUGCGACAUUGGAGCUUUCGUGUUGUGACAUAACGUCUAGUAUCGGUCUAAAAUAUCUUCUAAUGGUCUCUUGCACACUCACAAAGUAUAUUAGCUCUCCCUUAGGCCUCAUUUGGCCCCUAAGGUCCAUAAAAGACUCAAUUUGCAUAUUUUAUUGAAUGUAAAUAAAAUUAAGAAAACUUAACGAAAAUAUUUGUAUUCAAGCUCUUUAAAUGCAAAAACUAGUUUAAUUUGGUACACCAAAUUACGGCAAAUCAGUAUCACAAUACCACUACCUAACGGAUGAAAAAACUAGAAAGGUAAUUUUAUGUCUAAUAACCACCUCCGGACGUAUGAACGCGCAGAGUGUGAAUACUGCAGCAAAGGCUUAGUACUAGAUCAAUUUCAACCUAAACAUCAAAAGAUCUAAUUAGUACUUGAAAUAAGUUAUAUUAUGCAAAUAUAAAUAAAAGGGAUUUUUAAGAUUUCUAUAAUAAUAAAAAUGUAACAAAUAAAUAAGUUUCAAGAAAUUGAAAAGUGAAAUUAAUCAAAACUGAUUAUGGGUGAUUAGUUUGCUUCGAUAAUCUUCAUCAACUAUCGCUUCGGGUUCCUCGUCAAUCAACUAAUCAAUAUCCUAGCAAGAUCUUCUGAUACGUUUACUAAAAUAACGAGUUAGCAAGGAUGUAACACCCCCUACCCGUAUCUGUCACCAGAACAAGGUACGAGGUAUUACCGGAGUUAAAAAUUUAUUUAUCAGACAUUUUAUUUCAUCUGGAAUUCAUAUUUGGGAUCAAUCAAAAUCAAACAUAUUUCCCCUUAAACAUACUUAUUUUCCUUGUAUCAACGUAUCAAAGAUAAUCACAUAUUUACAUGUCAUGAUAAAUAUCAUUCUCUUACCGUUUCUUCAUAAACAUAAAUCAGUUAAUUCAUUAUAUCAAUAUUUCAUGUACCAUCAACUCAUAUUUCCUUAUAUCACAUAAUUAGGUUUCACGAACUUAUCUGGCUAAAUUGCAAAAAUACCAAGAUUCAAGAGCAUUUCGGUAAUUUUUUAUUUUCCUCGAUUUUUCAACCAACCUUGAUUUAAAUUAAUAAUUUCAUUCCAUUUAUUAAUUUAGACAAUAAAAUAAUUCAUUUCGGUCAAUUUGGUCAUUUUUGAUAUUUUUACAAAAUUACCCCUAAAGUUUUACUUUUAUUCAAUUUAGUCCCCGAGCCUAAAACAUGAAAAUUAACCACUUUAAUGUAACUCAUGCUAACUAAACAUUCAUAUAUAUUUUCCUUCUCCUCGUCUCCAUUCCAUAUCCUUAAUGUAUAUAUAAUUCCACAAUUUUCUCAUAUGUUCAUAUCAUGCUGUCCACUUGAGUCAUAGUCACUAAAUUAUUUAUAUCUUGAGCUAAAGAAUUAUAAAUUAAGAAAAUCUUGGUGUUUUUGAAACUAGAAUAAAAUAUCUUUCUACCAUAAAAAUUUCAGAAUUCAUAAUUUAUCCAAUAAGUACAGUAAAAUCAUCAAACUUACCCCUAUUCUACUGUUUAACAGCUUUGUCCUUUCCUUACUAAAAGUUAAUUAUCUUUUAGUACAAAAUUUGGAUGAUGUUUCUGUUUGUUUCUAUUAAGAAUAGACUCAUUAUGGAUUUAAACAUAUAAAUUUAACCCCUAAUUAUUUUUAUCCAAUUUUUUAUGAUUUCCCAAAUUCAAAAUAGAGGAACCCGAAAUUAUUCUGACCUUGUCUGAUAAAAUUUAUUAUAUCUCACAAUUUACAAUUCCAUUGCUUACACCAUUUCUUCUAUGAAAAACUAGUCUCAAUAAAAUUUAAGUUAAUAUUUUAUUCAACCUCUAAUUCGUUUUCCACAAUUUUUGGUAAUUUUUCAAAGUUUAACUACUGCUGCUGUCCAAAACUAUUUUAGUGCAACAUAUUGAUUACCAAGUUUAUAACACCCUUAUUUCCAUUCUCUACAAUAUUUCCCAUCAUUUUCUCUUAUUUCCCUUCACUAGUAUAUCAAGAACAUAGAACCUUAUAUAAGAAAACUCUACCUUAACAUCAUUUUCAAGCUUUUGAUAUUACCUUACAUGAGAAACUCUACUUAAAAUAUAUUGAAGUCUUAAAGUUCUUACCUUGUCCUAUUGAUUUCAAUCUUUAACUUGAUUUUUCUCUCUCCUCCAGCUUCUAUUUCUUGAAUCCAACUUGAUAUUCUAACUCCCCUUAAUCUCCUUAACAAUUUUCUCUCUUGGUAGCUAUGGAAAUUCUUUUGAUUUCAAGGUGAAAAUGGUAAUUUUUUUGUGGAAUGACUAAAUUGUAAAGAAAGCAAAACUUUCUUUCUUCUCUUCUCUUCUAACUGAAAUGCAUGGAAAGAUUAUAGAUGGUAUAUGUGUGUGUAUGUGUGUUUUCUUUCCACACACACACAUACAUAUAUACUAAAUAAAAUAAUAAAAUAAUCAUAAAUAUCUUAUUAAAAUAUCAAUAAAAUAAUAUUUAUCUAAUUAAUUAAUUUAAAAUAUUAUCAACAUAAUCAUUACAUUCUAGAAUUCUCUCUCUUACUAAUUGAUCAUUUUGCCCUUUAUAAUCUUUUAAUAUUUCAUCAUUGAGUCAUAGCUUAAUUUGGGAAAAUUACGAUUUAGUCUCUCAUAAUUCUUCACCUAUUCAAUUUGGUCCUAAUUCAUCCAUUUUCCUUAGUUUUUAGAUUAUCCCACUCCUAAAAUAUUUACACUAUUGGUUCUUUAACUUUUUCAUAUUACAUUUUAACCCCUCAAAUUUUAAGUAUUUACUCUUGGACAACAAAAAUUUUCUCACUUUUACAAUUUAGUCCUUUCUUGAAUUAAUAAUGUAAUAUAUCAUAAUAUACUUCCCAAUGUUGACAUAAUAAAAUUUAUCUUUUUGUCACUUUAUUUCCUUACUUAACUAUAUCAAGGAUAAUAUCUUACUUUCUUGUUGUAGUAAUUUUCGGGGUAUUACAAAGGACUACUUAUCUUUCAACCUCACAGUCUAGACUAGCUUGAGGUAAAGGUGUUCACAGAUAGGUCAAACCAAUUUUAGGUUAAUUCUCACCUUGAUGACUUCCUAGGGUUGACAAGCCUAAUGUUUAGGUUCUUCCUUUCCCAAACAGCUAAUCCGUUGAAUAGCCCUACAAAACAGUUCAUAGAUCAUACAUCCAUUAGCUAAUCCCCCAUAGAAGAUUUAGCUCCUCGUGGUUUUCAUAAACAAUAGAGAAUUGAUAUAAAGUAUAAACAUGACAAUUGAAUUGAAUGUAUAUACUUUAAGAAAAAUUAUUAUUUGUAUUAUGAAUUAAAGUGAAUCCACAAGGUUUGAUCGUAUCCAGAAAUCAGAUCUCUCAAAAUAAAACAAAGAAUAAUCUAAAAAUAAAUCUAAAACCUAAUAAAAGAGAAAAACUAAACUGAAAUUAAAAGAGAGAUCCUAAGCUAAGUAAUUGUUGUCCAUAACAUAAGCCAAAUGAGCUUAUUUAUAGAUUUGAGGUGGUUGUCAUCCUUAACCUUAGGUUAGUUGACGUUUUUGAGCUUUAAGUUGUAUUUUUCAGACCAAAAUGCCUUUUGGCUCGUAUUAAUUCCCAUCCAGAGUCUAUGUUGUGACACAUCCUAACUGUGUCGAGACAAAGAAUUCAUUAUACUUUUCUUUGGGAUGUCUUUAGAGGUAUGUCGUGACACCCUUAGGCUGUGUCGUGACGUCAAAGGUAGUCUCGAAAUUUGUCCAGUCUUCUCCCUAUAUUGCGACAUCAAAACCUCCAUGUUGCGACAUAGUGACCAGUAUCGAUUUAACACACCUUCUCAUGGUCUCUUACACACUUACAAAGUUCGUUAACUUACCCUUAGCCCUCAUUCGGCCCCUAAAGUCAAUAAAAGACUCAAUUUGCACAUUUUAUUGCAUUUAAUUAAACUUACCAAAACAUAAUUGAAACCUAAUGAUAAUAUUUAUUUUCAAGCUCUUAAAGUGAAAAAAUUAGUUUAAUUUGCUACACCGAGUUAUGACAGAUCAAACUCCCCCACAUUUAAGUCAUUGUUUGUCCUCAAGCAACACAAACAAAAAUAAAAAAUAGAAAAGACGAUCCUUGCGCCAAUAUGAUACAAGCAUUGACUUUGAAGCACAUAACUAGGCAUUUCCUCUUUAUGAAUAAUUUUGACAUGAUGAGUAAUUGAUUUACCACUUUUGGUUUCAAACAUCUAAGUUUAGUGCAUUACAUAAUAUACAAGCAUUAAAGGUCUCACCUGUAGGAAUCCAUCAACAAAUCAUACAAGUAAUUUGAUUAUCCUCGCAGAAUACAAAUAGCAGCUUAUGCGAUUGUUUAGUAUAACGUUCAUUUAUGCAUAAAGAUACCUAGCUCACAUAGGACUUUUCAGCUUGUAACAUUCUGAGGCUUAGAACUGAUAUGGAAUUUAAAAAUAGUAAGUAUCAAAAUGGAAAAUAGUUUGGCACAUCAUAUUGAUCUUUAUUCUUUCCCUUUAUCAACCCUUACCCACUCACCGCCUUCUUUCUCCUUCUCUCACCUUCCUUAUCUCUCCAUAUAAGAAAUCACAGCAUAAUAUAGUAACUAUGACUAGCUUACCAGUUUUCGUGCACUAAUGAACCAGUUUUUCUAUUCUCAUGACUUUGCCAUUUUCUUUUUUCAAUACAUCUCACUCACAAAUGCUUUUGUUUUUCAAGUACUUUUUUCUACUCGUAUUGAUUUUAUUUUUGAAUUUUUCUUCUGUUCUACACUUUAGGCUAGCCUAUAGUUACUAUAUCACACUAAUCUUUCCUAUUUCACUUUAUUUUUACGAAAUCCGUCAUGAUGUAUCUACUUAACCCUCAAUACGUAUAGUCAUCCGGCUAUAGUCAUGCAGUUCAGGACCAAAGAAAGAGGGCAAAUACAAAUUAACAUUUUAGGGUGUGUAAAUAUAGCAUGCGAAUGUGCAAGUGUACACGUCGAAUCAAAUAAUAAAGUAGUAAGUAAAACCAUCUCCACAGGGAUCGAAUAGGAUUAAUUUGAUUAAGUUAUUACUAUAAACUAUAUAAAUCAGGUUAUGGCAAAAAAGAAUAACAAUUUGUAGAGGAAUAAUCACGUAUGCAAUAUUAAAAUCAAAUAACUAACAUAAAAUGUUGUAGCAAAUGUACGGAGACAAAUCUGAGAAGAUAUACGUUGUUGAAUGGGAAGGUUGGGAUUAGUAAGAUUCAUUCCUUAUAACAUAAUAAUGCCAUAAAAAAAUCUUAACCAAUCUAUUAUUCAGAUUAAAUCUUGUAGACACUCAAUUUUGCCCGGCCCAUUUCAGUAUUUAAAAUAAUAAACCCCAAAAAAAACGAAGUCCAAGUUCAGUCCAGAAUUACAAAUAUAAUUUGGCCCGAUCGGAAUGGCCCAUUACUUGAAAAGAUUUAAGGUCCAUCUACAAGCUUGACUCAUAUGGAAAUAUAAUCUUCAAUGAUAUGUAAUCUUAGAUAUGAUACAAUCUUAAAUAUGAUUGCAAUCUUAGAUAUGAUACAAUCUUAGAUAUGAUUGCAAUCUUAGAUAUGAUACAAUCUUAGAUAUGAUUGCAAUCUUAGAUAUGAUAUACAAUCUUAGAAGAUAUGAUUUGUAAUCUUGGAGAUUUAAUUUGUAGAUAUCCUUUAAUCUUAACCGUUGAUGUAAUUGAUCUGUACCGUUGGAUUUGGGGAGGCUCAACUAUAAAUAGAGGCCUCUCCCUUCAUUGUAAAGGACGGGAGUUUUGGAAGCAAUAAGAAUUCUUGAGAGCAUUCACUCAAAUGUCUCUCCCUCUUACGUUCUUACUCUCUCUGGUUUGUUCUUAUUUUAUUCUUCGUCUAUCUUAGUUUUUCAACUUUUUUUAAUUUCACCCUUUUUAUAUGACUUUUAAACUUAUUUUAAUUGAUUAUUGAUAUUAUUUAUUAUAUUAGUUAUAUUUCAAAUUUGUAAAUUAUUGUUAUAGAUUAUAUUUAACUUAUAUAGUCUUAUAUAUUUAUUUAUUUAUAUUAUACAUUAUUUUAAAAACUUACAUUUUUAUAUUAUAUAUUAUAAAUUAUUUCAUUUAUUAUUAUUUUUAUAUACUAUCAUAUAUUAUCUAUUUUAAAAUUCACUAUUAAAUAUUAUAUUUUUAUGUAUUAUUAAAUGUUUAUAUUAUUUGAUAUAAUACAAUAUCAUAUUUUUUAUUAUUUUAUCUUAAAAUUAAAGUUUAUCUAUAAUAUAUUAUUAUCACCCAUUUCUAAAUUGUAUUUUAAUUAUAUACACAUAUAUCCAAAUUACUCACUUUAUUUUAUUAAACCUUUUUAUAUUUUUUUAUAUUAUAAAUUGUCCAUGUAUUAAAUGCUAUUUUCAUGAUUUUAUAAAGUGUUGAUUGCUUGAUAACAUAUGUUACUAUAUUAUUAUUAUUAUUAUUUUUAUAUAUUAUUGUAUUUGUUUGUCUUGUUUUGUUUUUAUACAAUCAUACAUCAUGCAUCAUUUUCUCUUUUAUUAAUAUGUUUAAAUAUAUGUUGAAUUACAUGUUUAUAUGUUUUAUCUAUUCUUCUUUAAUAUAUGUUGUUUUUUUUGUAUGUAUAUUUUACUUAUUUAAAAUUUGCCAUAUUUUAUAUUUCUUAUAUAUAUAUAUAUAUAUUAAUUAAUGUAUGACAUUUAUGUUAUUGUUAUUAUGCUUUUAUUUACCUAUUUCUAUAAUAUGUUAUCUUGUAUGUUAUGUUUUAUUAUGUUAAUGUGCUCCUUCAUGCAUCAGUUUUAAAAACGAGACUUCAAAGUUUUCAAAAAUAAAAAGGCAAUGCUAGGUGUUUGGAAGCUUCGAAAAAGUAGUGCCCUAACUUAUUGGGUUGCAACUUUUCUCGUUGAGUUCGAAUAGUCAAGUACCCUUCUAAUUUUUUUUAAGGUUUUCAAAAUACGAGCAACUGUCUUGGAAUUUCAAAGCGUUGUGUCCUAACUUAUUGGAUGUGGCAUUUUGUCAUUUUGAGAUAGGGAUUUCAAAAAGGGGGGCUAACUUAGUGUCAAUAUUUUGAUACAAAUGAAUCUCAAUUUUGCAAAAUCAAAAUAUUCUAAAGAGGAUUGCAUCUUAAAAUUUUUGAAUUUCCGACAUUAAAGACACUUGAUAAUCAAUUAGGUACCAAUUUUUGGGCGUUACGAGGGUGCUAACCCUUCCUCGUACGUAACCGGCUCCCAAACCCAUUUUCUGAUUUCGUAGACCAAAACUAAUGAUUUUAAAACAAAACAUUUUAUAAGGUGAUCCAAUCACACCUAAAAAGAUUGGUAGCGACUCCCGUUUUCAUUUUUCUUAAAGUCGAUUCCCAUUUUCCAAAACUCGAUUUGAAAAUGGUUUCGACAGCUUGGCGACUCCACUGGGGACUAAUAAGAGAGUCAAGCCGUGUAAUUGAUUAUCUCUUAUCUUAAUGUCGAAAAUUAAAAAUUUUAAAAUUUAAUCUUCUUUGCAUUACAUGUGUUUGUGUUAUUGCAUGUGUUGCUAUAUUCUAAUACGCAUUGCAUUUGCAUGACCGUUGUGGUCACACCCUUAAGUGGGAGUGAGAAGCUACGCCUUCAUGAGGUUUUCGCCUCCGUGCAGGAUAGUGGAUCACUUUCGGGAUACAUCCGUACCUAUGGUUUCGUGCGAUUUUCCUCUCCGUGUAGCCAUAGGGAAAUGUGUCCCCCUGAACUGAACUCGAUUCAAAUGAGCCUAUAAUGGGUGAGGAUCGAGGAAUCUGCUGGUUCAGGUACCUCAACUUUAGAACUAAACCACAUAUAGAAGGACCGUAAGAGCUCAACCUAGAUAGAAUUAUACCGUAAUUAUUACCCUUGCAGGUUAUCCUUGAGUUUAUUGUUGUCAUGUGAUACUAACUAUCUCCUUUCUUUUGUUGCAUAUCAUUUCGCAUUUAAAAGGUAUCGAUUUUCGGUCUUUUCGGUCAGUUUCUAAGUUAGAGAGUUUUAUUAUGGAGAACAGACUUCUUGAUAGAGUGGAAGACAACGCUAACUUCCAUAUAUGGUCAGAGCAAACUCAGUUAGUAAAGGAAAAUAGUCUAGCCAUGGGAUAUGUGUCAGAGCUGUCAGACUGCAUCCGUAUCACACAGGAUAAUCAUCAUGAGUUAAAGGAAAUAUGGUAUCAAUGGGGUAGCGAAGCCAAGCAGCUGUUCUACAACAACCAUAGGGACUUGCAGUACUUGCUUGACUUGGGAAUAGACGAGAAUUUGUUUCGGGCCAUCACUCAGUAGUGGAAUCUUGUAUACAGUUGCUUUACGUUUGGAAAAGCCUAUAUGGUACCCGUGGUGGAGGAAUAUUCAAUUUUGUGGCAUUGUCCUAUGACUCAAGUUGAUAAAGUUUACUCAAGGGCUAACUGUAUUCCAACUUUUGUGAGGAAGUUGAUGAAUGUCAUAGGGAGAGGGAGUGAGCUAAAAUGGAAAGAGUAGGAGGGAAAAGGGGCAGUCUUGGAAUUCCUGCCUCUUCCGCCACUAGUGCGUCUUAAUGUUGUUUCCAAUCAAAGCAGAAUUGGAUACGAAGAAGAUUGUUCGACACUCUAUGGCAAGGCGUGCUGCAGGGAAAAAGGUAAUGUACUCACCAAUCAUUUUAAGGUGAACAAGAAGAGUAUUGAUGGACAUUUCCACCAUUACAACAUUUCUCUUUCAUAGGAAAAUGGUCGAUGGUAAGAGUGUUGGAAGAAAAGUGAUUGACAGAAUGCAUGGACCUACAAAGGUGAGUUGGAUGGAAAGAAAUGAUGGUAAAAGGCUUAUUUAUUAUAGGACCAAACAACAAGCAUGAGUUCACUAUGUUGCACUUAUCAGAGAUAAUAGAAAUGCAAGCCCUGAUGAUCUGUCAAAAUGGACGCAAAAGAAUGAGAUUAAAGAAGUCCAUAUCAUUUAAAAGACCUUUAAAGUAGAGAUCAACUAUACUGAGAAGAUACCCAUCUAAGCAUUUCAAAAUGCUUUGCGUGGACAGGAAUCUGAAAGCUCUCAAGAAACCCUAAAGGUGUUGGAUAUCAUUUUAAGGCAGCAUGUUAAGCAGGAAUGCUCACUUGUUUUCCAAUCUUUCUUUCAAGAUAAUCAGAAGAACUUCACAGACAUUGGAAGAGGUGUCCAUAGAUGUAAGGAUUAUCUUAUGGGUGAAGCCAUAGCUCAAAUUCGGGAUGGUAGUAGAUCAUUUACGGACCAUGAAGGUACAAGCUGAUACAUUGAGCACAGUCAGAUCAUUGUCAAGAGUUAGCUUUGUUGAGUUAAAACUUUGGGCCAUAGGACGAAGGCGUAUUUGUAAUCCAUUCAUAUGUAAAGAUAUUCUUUUUCUAAAUAAAGUUUUCUAAAUGAAAUUAAGUCGAGAUCGAUACCUUUUUACAUUCAUGCAUUUGUAUUACAUCACAUCGCAUUAUAUGCAUUUAAAUUAUAAAAAGACCAUAAUUAGUUAAAGUUAUUAAAAAAGAAGGAAAAAGAGAGAGAGAGAGAGAGAGAGAGAGAAGAGGGUCACGGCUAAGUGAAAAAGAGACGUUCCCUUACAUAUCCCUGACUUUUGUGUCAAGAGGGAUAGUUUACCCGGAGAAAGGGGUGUUUGGAAAUGAAAAUAAUCCCAUCAAUGUCAUACAUGAGGAAAGGACUGAACAAAGAAACCUUGAGGGCAUUCACCCUUACGAACCGGGAAGUUCUUUAAAUAAUUGGACUGCAGAAGAACUUCCUGUAAUCUUUAGGAAUUUUACGGAGUAAUAUUCAGAACACACUUGUUGCUCUAAAGCCUAGGAGUAAUGAGAUUUCUUUUGAGAAGUGGACUCAUGUUCAGACAUUUUUAUUUUCAAUAAAACAUACUUUUAUUAUUUAUCCGAGUAAAUAUUCUUUCAUUCUGAUUCUUUUGACCUUUGACAUUCUUUAUAAAUUUUCAUUUCAUGUAAAUAGUCAUUUUUGAAUUCAUUUAUUCCUUUUAUAUUCUUUUGUGUGCCUAUCAUAGAUCCCUAGAUAUCAAUGACACGGGCAACGAUACUAUAGAUUCAGAGUUCCUUUUGAGUGCGAUAUGUGUUUAGAGGAAUCUCAGUACUUUGAAGGUGACAGAAAUUGUGACUUGUUUCUGAAUUUGUUGAAAAUGGUUUUUACCCCAUGAAGUGGUGGUAGGAAAUAUAGCCUUAGAGGAAGGAAAGAUUGCGAAAUUGGAAUUAGCUGAGGAGACAAAACAAGACCUUGUUGAGACUAUUAUGGGAAUUCAAAAAUAUGGUCCAAAGACGCAUGCAGGAGGAUUUGCAAUUGCCAGGAUAAACAUGAGGUUUUGGGGCACUGUUGGUCCACCAUGGAAAGGGAUCGCAUCAGUUGUACAAUGAAUGCCAAAUUUAAAGGAGUAAAGACUUAUGGGGCAUGUAUGUUAUGGGCCCGAGCUCAUCAAAAGUUUCAAGCUGACAAUGACUCAUCUUUGUAGACGUCAACUACUCCAUUAAGAGGGGGAGAUAGCUUCAUAUGCCAAUAUUACAAAGUCAAAAGUCAUCUAUCUCAAAAAAAAGAAAAAGAAAAAAGAUUAUAUAUAACUGCACAAUGCCAAAAGUUUGUAGUCUUUUCAAAGAUAAUGCGCCAUACCACAGUACAACAAAGGUUGCCAAAAGAAAAGAAAAAGAAGAAAAAAACAAAUUACAAAAGAUGACCGAGACUGGUAAAAAUUGGCAUAAGAAACUAGCGCCUACUCUCUAUGCUUACACUGGGGCAAACACCUUCAAUUCCAGUUGUUUCAAAGGUUCCAACCAUCAUCCUUGGAAUGGGUGCAUUGUUUGGCUUUCCUGAGCAGUCUGAUGUGCCGUCAAUAGCUGCGAUGGUUAGCUCCAGGCGAUGGCCAUUGAUUUUCAGCUAUGGGGCAUCAGGCCGUGCACAGUCUCUGAAGCUUAAAAUGAUAGAUUCUUUCUUCAAAACCAGUUUCUGACAAAGUUGAUGAUGGUAUCAUGAAGGAAGCUCUCUUAGACUUCUAUACAAGUUCAGAGAAGAGAAAACCUGAUCAAAUCAUUAUUUUCAGGGAGAGGGUUAGCGAGUCUCAAUUCAAUCAAGUUUUGAUCAAGUUAUUGAGGCUUGCAAGUUCCUUGGCGAGAAGUGGAACCCUAAAGAUUGUGGUUAUUAUUGUACGAAAAACCAUCAUACCAAGUUUUUUUUUAGUAGGGAUCUCCUGACAAUGUGCUACAUGGUACUGUCAUUGACAACAAAGUAUGCCAUCCAAAGAACAAUGAUUUUUACCUUGGUACCCAUGCUGGAAUGAUUGGAAUCACAAGGCAGACCCACUAUCAUGUUCUCUCAGACCAGGCUGGGUUUUCGGCUGAUGAUCUGCAAGAGUUUGUUCAUUCUCUAUCCUACAUGUAUCAAAUGAGCACUACAGCCAUAUUUGUUGUGCCUCCUAUUUGCUACGCUCAUUUGGCAGCUUCACAGUUGGGGGCAAUUUAUGAAGAUUAGGGAUGCUUUAGAAACAUCAUCAAGUCAUGGUGAGAUGUAUGCUCCAGGAGUAAUCUCUGUACCUCAGCUUUCCAGGUUGAAGGAUAAAGUCAGCAAUUUCAUUCUUGUCUGCUGAGAAUCAUUGAACCAUCUUUUUGUAGGGUUUGACAAACAACAGCCAGGACGGCUGCUGGGGUAAUCCCUUUCUCAUAGGUUUAUGAAUCAAGAUUUUUCCUCCAAGCUUUGAUGGAGUCAAGAAUUGAAUACCUCUAGUAAACUUAACUUGAAAGUAUUCAUCCUAAGCAAAUGUACCAAGAAUGGAUGACACAGACUUAUGACAAAGAAGGUUCGUCCAAAAGAAUCUCAUAAAGGAAACCUUGCAAAAGGAUGCCGAAUUGUUAAGGGCCAUAUGUUACGAAGAGGGCUUUCUCUAGAGGUGCAUUGAUUUUGACAAGAAAUGGAUAGGAAGAAUUUAUCUGAUCCAGUGAAUUCGGACUCAGUCAAAGAGUACUUUGUCUGAAGGGGAAGGGAAGCCAAGGUGAAAACCCGCAAAGGGCACUUUGGGACUUCUAUUUCAAAAAAAAAAAGAGAAAAAAUAAAGAAAAUAAAAAGAGAAAAAAUAAAGAGAAAAAAGAAAAAAUGGAGAGGCCAAGGUGAAAACCCGCAAAGGGCCCCUUAAGACCAAAGGGGUUUUGAGUUGAAAACCCAAAAGGGCGGCUCAAAUUUGGAAAGUCAUGCAGUGACCUUGCUAUACCGGAUUCGACGAGAAGUGAAGUAUGUUACAUAUCGAGGCAUCAACGAAUUACUUUGGAUCUUUUAAACACAUGUUGAACUCAAGAAAGUCUUCAUGGAGCUCAAGCGGCGAUAUCUGGGGCAUCUGAUUUUUUGUCCUGUUUACUAUCUUUGGAUUCUCUUUCUUCUCAAAGAUAGAUUCCUAGAUUAACCUCCUUUGUCUUUUUGAUAAAUCAUUAUCCUCAAGAUCAAUUUAUUCGUCCCAUUAUUCAUAAAGUGUGUUGCAUAGAAAUAAUGAUUGAUGAACUAAAUAUAUUUACAAACGAAGUUUUGCAUAUUACUCUGGAAAUUUCUAGAUAAUACAAGAAACUGAAACAAGACAAUUGUUUAAAGAAUUUCCAUAUUUGAGGGUCGGAUGUACUCGGGGAAAUUUCUUCUUCAGUCCAAAAGGUGGUUGGACAUUUUAAAUUGAUCUUAAGAAAGGAUCAUUUCAUAAACAUCUCCAGCGGGUCACAACAUUUAGAGAAUGGCACAAUAGGACUAAGGUGAUUCAAAGCAUACAAGCAGAGUAUAAUUGAUACAUCAAGAAGUAUAAAGUUAAAACUUCGAUGAGGGAAUGAGUGAUGACGCCCGAAAUAAGGGUCAUAUUCAUAACAUUUUGCAUUAUAACAUGUCUAAUUAGGAGAAUUUGACUCACUACAAUCAUAGGCAUGAAAUCAUACGCAUUCUACAGGUUAUGUCUUUUAUGGGACAAUGUAGAUCAAAGAAACAAGAUUUGGCAUCCCUAUGUUUAUAGGGAACAGAUCGAAGAUAGUAGAUCUGACAUUCCUGUGCUUACAGCGAAGCAGAUUGAAGAUUUCAACAUGGCAUCCCUGUGUUUAUAGGGAACAAGUUGAAGAUAGCAGAUUUGGCAUCCUUGUGUUUAUAGGGAACAGAUCAAAGAUAGCAGAUCUAACCUUCAGAUGUUUAUACUAAAGCAGAUCCAAGAUGAUUUGGCAUUCUUGUGUUUACAAGGAACAAAUCGAGGACAUAGCAUAUUUGACUCUCAGACGUUCUCAAAGAUAGCAGAUCUAACCUUCAGAUGUUUAUACUGAAGCAGAUCCAAGAUGAUUUGGCAUUCUUGUGUUUACAAGGAACAAAUCGAGGACAUAGCAGAUUUGACUCUCAGACAUUCUCAAAUAUAGCAAAUCUAACCUUCAGAUGUUUAUACUGAAACAGAUCCAAGAUGAUUUGGUAUUCUUGUGUUUACAAGGAACAAAUCGAGGACAUAGCAGAUUUGACUCUCAGACGUUCUCAAAUAUAGCAGAUCUAACCUUCAGAUGUUUAUACUGAAGCAGAUCCAAGAUGGUUUGGCAUUCUUGUGCUUACAAGGAACAAAUCGAGGACAUUACAGAUAUGACUCUCAAAUGUUCUCAAAUAGACUCAAGAUGGUUUGGCAUCCUUAUGCUUACAAGGAACAAAUCGAGGACCUUGCAGACAUGACUCUCAAAUGUUCUCAAACAAACUCAACAAGUCGAGGACCUUGCAGAUAUGAUUCUCAAAUGUUCUCAAACAGACUCGGGAUGAUUUGACAUCCUUACAAAUUGAAGAAGCAGACUCAGUGUCUCUGUGUUCGGCAGAAAACAGAUCAAAGAUAUCAACAUAGCAUUCUUGAGGUCGUAGGGAGAAGGUAGAAGACCAUUCGAGGAAAAGAUCGCAAAGAUUGGGCUAGGCCGGGCAAAUUUGGUCCUUUAUGGUCUUUGCUCAAUUCCUAUUACAUAGCAAUGAGCACAGAGGGGCAACUGUAGACACUCAAUUUUGCCCGGCCCAUUUCAGUAUUUAAAAUAAUAAACCCCAAAAAAAAACGAAGUCCAAGUUCAGUCCAGAAUUACAAAUAUAAUUUGGCCCGAUCGGAAUGGCCCAUUACUUGAAAAGAUUUAAGGUCCAUCUACAAGCUUGACUCAUAUGGAAAUAUAAUCUUCAAUGAUAUGUAAUCUUAGAUAUGAUACAAUCUUAAAUAUGAUUGCAAUCUUAGAUAUGAUACAAUAUUAGAUAUGAUUGCAAUCUUAGAUAUGAUACAAUCUUAGAUAUGAUUGCAAUCUUAGAUAUGAUAUACAAUCUUAGAAGAUAUGAUUUUGUAAUCUUGGAGAUUUAAUUUGUAGAUAUCCUUUAAUCUUAACCGUUGAUGUAAUUGAUCUGUACCGUUGGAUUUGGGGAGGCUCAACUAUAAAUAGAGGCCUCUCCCUUCAUUGUAAAGGACGGGAGUUUUUGGAAGCAAUAAGAAUUCUUGAGAGCAUUCACUCAAAUUUCUCUCCCUCUUACGUUCUUACUCUCUCUGGUUUGUUCUUAUUUUAUUCUUCGUCUAUCUUAGUUUUUCAACUUUUUUUAAUUUCACCCCUUUUUUAUAUACUUUUAAACUUAUUUUUAAUUUAUUAUUUAUAUUAUUUAUUAUAUUAUUUAUAUUUUCAAAAUUUGUAAAUUAUUAUUAUAUAUUAUAUUUUAACUUAUAUAUCUUAUAUAUUUAUUUAUUUAUAUUAUACAUUAUUUUAAAAACUUACAUUUUUAUAUUAUAUAUUAUAAAUUAUUUCAUUUGUUAUUAUUUUUAUAUACUAUCAUAUAUUAUCUAUUUUAAAAUUCACUAUUAAAUAUUAUAUUUUUAUGUAUUAUUAAAUGUUUAUAUUAUUUGAUAUAAUACAAUAUCAUAUUUUUUAUUAUUUUAUCUUAAAAUUAAAGUUUAUCUAUAAUAUAUUAUUAUCACCCAUUUCUAAAUUGUAUUUUAAUUAUAUACACAUAUAUCCAAAUUACUCACUUUAUUUUAUUAAACCUUUUUAUAUUUUUUUAUAUUAUAAAUUGUCCAUGUAUUAAAUGCUAUUUUCAUGAUUUUAUAAAGUGUUGAUUGCUUGAUAACAUAUGUUACUAUAUUAUUAUUAUUAUUAUUUUUAUAUAUUAUUGUAUUUGUUUGUCUUGUUUUGUUUUUAUACAAUCAUACAUCAUGCAUCAUUUUCUCUUUUAUUAAUAUGUUUAAAUAUAUGUUGAAUUACAUGUUUAUAUGUUUUAUCUAUUCUUCUUUAAUAUAUGUUGUUUUUUUUGUAUGUAUAUUUUACUUAUUUAAAAUUUGCCAUAUUUUAUAUUUCUUAUAUAUAUAUAUAUAUAUAUAUAUAUAUAUAUAUAUAUAUAUAUUAAUUAAUGUAUGACAUUUAUGUUAUUGUUAUUAUGCUUUUAUUUACCUAUUUCUAUAAUAUGUUAUCUUGUAUGUUAUGUUUUAUUAUGUUAAUGUGCUCCUUCAUGCAUCAGUUUUAAAAACGAGACUUCAAAGUUUUCAAAAAUAAAAAGGCAAUGCUAGGUGUUUGGAAGCUUCGAAAAAGUAGUGCCCUAACUUAUUGGGUUGCAACUUUUCUCGUUGAGUUCGAAUAGUCAAGUACCCUUCUAAUUUUUUUUUAAGGUUUUCAAAAUACGAGCAACUGUCUUGGAAUUUCAAAGCGUUGUGUCCUAACUUAUUGGAUGUGGCAUUUUGUCGUUUUGAGAUAGGGAUUUCAAAAAGGGGGGCUAACUUAGUGUCAAUAUUUUGAUACAAGUGAAUCUCAAUUUUGCAAAAUCAAAAUAUUCCAAAGAGGAUUGCAUCUUAAAAUUUUUGAAUUUCCGACAUUAAAGACACUUGAUAGUCAAUUAGGUACCAAUUUUUGGGCGUUACGAGGGUGCUAACCCUUCCUCGUACGUAACCGACUCCCGAACCCAUUUUCUGAUUUCGUAGACCAAAACUAAUGAUUUUAAAACAAAACAUUUUAUAAGGUGAUCCAAUCACACCUAAAAAGAUUGGUGGCGACUCCCGUUUUCAUUUUUCUUAAAGUCGAUUCCCAUUUUCCAAAACUCGAUUUGAAAAUGGUUUCGACAAAUCUAAGAUAGUUAACUUCUUUCGAGAGUCAGACUUCAAGCUACCCUACCUAAGGCUUUACAUGUUUACAAGCCUAAAGAAUGAUACCUAGUACUAUUACUUCAUUUCUCUAUACAGACGCAACUCUAUGUCUAGAGGGCUACGAGUAUUUUAUCGAGUACUCCCUUGUAUCAUUUGAUCACAAUCCAACUCAUCUAACCUUUUCAGAAUUAAAUCAAGUUUAUGGACAUACCAUACAUUUAUCUAUGUCUAGAGAAAGCAUACAUUUUAAAAUAGCCCAAAUCGAAUGAAAUAGUAAAUCUAAUCAAGAUAAUACCUUGGUCAUUAAAGGAACUAAAGAUUCAUCCAAUAAUCCCAACCCAAUGAGAUAAGCUCAUGAGUUGGAAAUUAAAAUCCAAAAUGAAAUAAUCAUUCAAUAAUAUAUUUUCACAGUUUAAAUUCAUAGAAAUCAAUUAAGAUAGUGAAGGAAGAACUUCAAGAAGCUUUUGCCGAUCUAGCCCAACUCUAGUGCUGCAAUAUCUUGCGAAGCCCAGGAUUGAAUGCUUCUCUUUCUUCUUUACGUUGCUACUUUAUUCUUUAGUUGCUACCCUCUUUCCUUGCAUCUCUAGAUCUCCCACGAGAAAUUGUGUGAGAGGAAAAACCGCUCUCUUUCCUCUCUUUCUCCUUCUUUUUAUAGGGUAAAUCCCCUCUCAGCACAACUCUUUUCUCAUUUUUUAGGUGGAUAUUUCUAGUACAAGUACAGCUGGUUGAUAGUGCCACGAAUUAACAGUUGAGUCAGUAUCUUCCUGAAAUUUCCAUGGCAUUUGUACUGGCAAUCUAUCCAACCUUUUGACAUGACAAAACUUCACUCAUUCACUUCUUUUCCUCCUUUCUACACUUACGAGUAAAAGUAACAUAUAGUCACAUUGAAAGCAAAAUCCAAGCUUCAUGAUGUAAUACUAUAAAAGUACUAAUAUAAUUUCCUAAAAUGAAACUAAAUUUACUCAAGUACGAACAAUUAACCAAGUUUGUAAGCCUGAAAUAUAACUCUUUUCAAGAGUUAUCACACCCCUAAACCUAAGUUAUUGCUUGUCCUUAAGCAAAAUAUACCUAAAUGAAUUACCACAACAAUAUAAUUACCUUUUGUAAUGUCAAACAAUGUAAAGCAUAUUUUAUACUUCAGUUCUCAGCAAUAUUUUGUUUCUAAAAAUUUGCUCAAGUUUCAUUAGCUUGUUUAGCAAAAGAAGCACAGAAAAUGUUGCUCUAAAAAUAAAAAUUUCUAAUUACUCAUGCAAUUUUGACUAUACCAAGUACUUCCUAAUGUACUUAGUGUAUCUAUUAUCUAAGCUCAGUUUCCUUUUAAUAGAUGAAUACAUAUUUCUUUUCUAUAAUGGUCGAAUCUAUCAAAAGUCCAUGUCGAUUCUCACAUGUGUUCUAUUUGUAUUUGUUUAUUGAAGGUUAAAAUCUGAAUCGCUCAGAUCACUGUUGACAUCAAAGGUUAUUCGCAUCUCCGUCUUAAGUCGAAACAGUGUAUGUGGUGAUUCCAAAAAUCAGAUUUGAAUAGCCAUUGUUUUCUCCGAUUUGGCCGAACCUUAUAGGGUGAUUAGUGGUUGAUUUCUAACAAUUGUUUAUUUGUGCUAGGUACAGAUCGAAACCAGAUUUAAUCAUAUCUGAAGCAUAAGACCUGCAGACUACUGUUAGUGUUUCAGAUUUGUGUUAUUCAGGUAUGGGUCCUAACUUUGUAUGUUUGGUGAUUGUUGAAACGUUGUAUGUACUUUAUUGGCAUUGGUCAAAUGUUCUAGGGCCUUAAAGUGUAAAUAACCAAGUGUGUAAGUGCUAUAAGUGGUUAACCAGAUGUAUGCCUAUUGUAAUUGGUUGAUUAGCCGAAUGCAUGUUAUUACAUGUCUUGUAUUGUUAAGCAUGUUGAUUGUUACUAUAUAAAUGGAUUGCAUGUAAAAAAAAAAUAUUUCACUGAUUGAUAUUUUUUUACCGAAUACAUGUUAAGCAUGCCACCAUGAUUGAAAUUAUUAUUGACAAGCAUGAUAUGUUACACUAUUUGUAUAUCAUAAUGCAUUGCAUGGGGAUUGGGAUUGAUUGGUGACAGAGGAGUUUCGUGGAGUACCAGCAAUUUAUCUGUAAUAUUAUACUGGCAAUUAAUCUGCAAACCUAGGGAAAAGUUCGGAGUACUAGCGGUUUUUUUGCAAAUUAUUGGAAGUCUAAUUGAAAAAAUUGUUACCAAUAGUUUAUCCACAUUGAGCUACGGCUCUUCCUGUUUUGAUGUUAGAAUAAUGAGUUCUGGGAAAUCAUGGUGUGUAACAUAUGGAUGGGUAGGAAAUAUAUAUUGUUUUCAUAUGAGCAUGUCCAUGUGUAUAUACUAUAUUUUUAUGAUGUCUACAAUGAUCUAAGAAAUGUUGUUGGCUAUACGCUUUACUGUAGUUUGAAUGUCUGCAUGUAUAUACAAUGUUUACUAUGUUUCAGACUCGCUUUGAGUUUUUUGUAGCUCACCUCCAUAAUUUUAUCCUUAUAGAUAAUCCUCGAGAUUAGGAUCGGACAUGACAUUCGGAGGUUUCGUCUCAAUUUUAUUUAAUAAAGCAAUUUAAAUUUUGCUUUAUUUUGUUAUGGUUUCUGGGACUGUAAUUUUGUUAAUUUUAAGUUGUGGCAUGGGUUCUUUGUAAGUUUGAAUUUUUGUAUGCAUUCAAUUUCAUUAAACUAAACCGACCUAAUAAAUCUGCUUAACAUCACACUAAAUAAGGUUUAAAGUAAAAACUGAUGGUUUCAAUUUUUCCAAUGCGAAACAAGGAAAGGAGUUAUGAAAAGCAAAUCGACAAAACAAAAAGCAACUAAGUUUACCCCCAAAAUGCCACAAACAUAUUAAAUUUAUAACCUUAAUAUUAACUCGACUUAAAAUCUGAUGUUUUUGACAAAUAUAUGACAACUACUCUAAGUUUUCUAAAAAUAAAAAAAAUAAACGUUACAGGAAUUGAAUAAUUCUACUAGGCCAUUUCAAUCGUCAAUGUAACCUUUAGGAUCUAAUUAUAAUAUUUGGUUCGGGUUAGGGAGGAUAUUGUUGCGGUUGAAAAUUUGAAGCAAGUGGAAAAAUAAAUAUUACUAUUAACAGGAAAGUGUUGUCGGAUGUAAGAGAAUCUCUUGAAUUAUGGGGAGGUGAUGGAAGAAAGUCAAAUAUUGAAGGUGACAUGAAAGGGGUGACGUUGCUUAGUACUGAUAACAUGGGUGUAAAUGAGACAGAUGAAGUGGAAGUAAGUAACCGAGGCAAAGAAAGUGAGUGUGCAAGUCCAAUUUUAGAGAUGGAUCAGACACUAGCGUUCAGCCAUUCAAAUCAGAAUCGAGGUUACGUUGAAACAACUGAGGUGAUAGGUAAAGAUAAUAUGACUGCAGGCAAGGAAUUGGUUGAAAUUACAAAGAGGAUAUUGUAGAGGACUAUAUAGUCAAAGGAGACAACAAAGUUAAGAAAAUUGAGAAAGAAGAAACCAACGGCCUGUGGUGAACACAUUCCGACUUCAAAAACAGGAAGAACGCGUUGAAGUUGGGUAAGAUUGCGGAAUUACAAGUUGGUGGAGAUGAGGAUGAAGUUUUGAGACAUUUGGCAGCAAUUAGAGUUAGCUCAGUUCAAAGAAUGUUGAAGUUUGAUUUUGUUUUUUCUUUGGUGUACCAGUCAGUACCCUCAAACUUUCUUCUCUGAACCUUUCCUAAUGUUUCCCAUGAAUCCCCGGCGCUAGCAUGCAAACUAUCUUAUGUUUCUCUAAAAUAAGAUCUUCUCUCGAUUUGGGAUGCUCUUAGGAUUCAUUGCCAAAGUCUGACAGACAGAUGAAACCAUGGUCUUUGAAACUUCUCCCCAUCUCAAGGCUCUAUAUGGUUUCUGCAUAUGGGUUUUUUAAACACUAACAAUAGUAUCUUACAUGCUAAGUCUCGAAGGAAACAAAGAAUUCUUUUGGAUCAUUUAUUUCGAUUUUUCUCAUAUGUCUUGUUUCUCUUUGUCCAAAACUCCAUUAUUUUCAUCCCAAACUUCCACUAUGAUAAAAAAUAUAUAUUAAAUUGAGGUGAAAGUAAUGGAGAGCAAAUACAUAAAAAAAUAUUAAAUAAAUUGAAGAUGGAAAGUGACCAGCCGAUGCACAUAAAAAUAUUAAAAAUUUGAUAAGAAAUAUUAAAUAUAAAAAAUAGAAUUUAAUAAUACAAAAUUAUUUGAAUUCAAUACAUGUAAUAUUAUUGUACUGCAUAAUUUUACAUGAUAAUCUUAUGAUUAUAAUAAUAAUUAUUACAAUUGCUACUCAUGCACAGGUUUGCUUUCACUAUAAAGAACGCAUAAUAAAAGUUAAAUUUUAAACAUAUUGAUAAAAAUAAAUAAAUAAUAAUGCAUUUUAUAAUAUUAUUUUUAAAUAAUUUUAAAUAAUAAUAUUUUAAUUAAAAAUAAAUUUGAAAAAAAAUGAAUGCCACAAAGAAUGAAUUUAUAUACCUUAUUAUAUUAUAUUAUUUAUGACAUGAUAUGAUUUCUUACAAAUGUUUCAAACGAAGUUAGUUACCAUUUAAUCCACAAAGCUGUAAUUUAGAAGUGUCAAAAAAAAUCCUAAAUGUGAAAGUUAAUCUUGUGUGGAAUGUGAAAUUUUUUCUAAAAAACUAAUAUUUAAUUUACAAUUUAGCAUUUAAAUUACAUUUAUAAAUUAAUUAUUUCGAUACUUAAAAUAUUAGUUUAUCUAAAAAUAUUUUACUCAACCAAAUAUAUAAAAAAAAGUAUAUAAAUUACAUCCUAGCAUUAGCCUUUUUUUGAACAAUUUCAAUGCCUGGAAUUUUAAAAGAAUAAGAAAAAGAAUAUUAAAACACCAUAAUUUUAUAGAGCGAUUAAUAUCCUUGAAAUUUAAACAAACUUUCACAUCCGUAGGGCACUCUCCACCAUGAAACAUUUUAAACUAACUAUGGCCAUUUUUAGGGCUUUAACUGAUUCAUUUUUUAAUAUAAAUAGGGAACUUCAAUAACAUAUUAUUCAAGCCUGUACUCAACGGGCCAUAAGUGAUAAGCAAUAAGCAACCCUACAACUUCAAAUAAGGUUUUCUUCUUUCUUGCUUUCAUUUCUUCAAGGGAAAGAAAGAGAGAAGAAGAUACUUUUUUUGAAACAAAAAAGAGUUGUUUAAAAAUGGCGAAUAAUGCUAUUAUUGGUAUUUGUGCGGUGUUCCUGGUGGCCUUGGUGGUAGCCGUGGUGGUGGGUGUUACACACAUCAAAAACAAGAACGAUGGUGAAGAGAUAUCGAGUUCAAACAAAGCUGUGCAAGCCCUAUGUCAACCCACGAAUUAUAAAGAGACAUGCCAGAAAAGCUUGGCGUCGUCAAAUUCUAGCGAUGUUAAGGAGCUGAUAAGGACAGGUUUCCAAGCCGGGCUAGUCGAGAUAAAGAAUGUGUUGGCCCGUUCAGUGACUGUCCAAGAGUUGAUCAAGGAUGAGAACAACAAAGCGGCACUUGGUGUUUGCCAAGAGGUGUUGGACUUAGCCAUUGAUGACUUUCAAAAGUCAUUCGACAUGCUAGGGGAAUACGACAUGAGCAAGAUCGGAAAAUACCUUUUGGAACUGAAGACCUGGCUAAGUGGUGCAUUCACUAGUCAACAGACAUGUAUAGACUCAUUCGCGCAAUCAAGUAAUGAAUCAUCGCAGAAGAUACAAUCAAUCUUGAAGACUAGCAUGGAGAUUACUAGCAAUGCUUUAGCGAUGCUUAAUGGGUUAUCCACCAUCGUGAAAGAAC
This 66141-nucleotide long non-coding RNA is filed under the name Gossypium barbadense (sea-island cotton). RNAcentral describes it as "long non-coding RNA (GBAR_LNC008642)". The record is from RNAcentral. Lineage: Eukaryota; Viridiplantae; Streptophyta; Magnoliopsida; Malvales; Malvaceae.